Molecule: long non-coding RNA, 59450 nt
Filed under: Musa acuminata (dwarf banana)
Lineage: Eukaryota; Viridiplantae; Streptophyta; Magnoliopsida; Zingiberales; Musaceae
Description: long non-coding RNA (MACU_LNC000351)
Source: RNAcentral
GAGAAGAAGCUGUUUUCCUCGCCGCAUUUGGCUCGAUCUAUGCCGCUGCUGCUACUGCUGCAUUUUCUUGUGCUACUGUCUUCUUCCUCUUCUUCUUUGGACACUUUGGACGGAGACUUGGGUGCCUUAUUGGAGAUCAAGGCCGCGUGCGACUCGGCCGGGAGGCUGGCGAGCUGGAACCGGUCCGACCCGUCGCCGUGCGCGUCCUGGCAUGGGGUCACCUGCGCCGGCAGCCGCGUCAACCGGCUCGUCCUUGAGGGCCUCUCCCUCUCCGGCCCGGCCUGCCUCCCGGCAGUGACGCGGCUCGACCAGCUCCGGGUACUCAGCCUUAAGUCGAACCGCCUCUCCGGCACCAUCCCGAACGUCUCCUCGCUCUCUGCGCUCAAGCUUCUGUUUCUCUCCCACAACCAGCUCUCCGGUCCCAUCCCGCCGUCGGUCGGCUCGCUGGUCCGCCUCUACCGGCUCGAUCUCGGCUCCAACAACCUCACUGGUCCGGUCCCGGCCUCGCUUAACCGGCUGUCCCGCCUGCUCACCCUCCGGCUCGACUCGAACCGGCUAUCUGGUCCCAUCUCCGGUCUCGUCCUCCCACGCCUCCAGGACCUCAACCUGUCGUCAAAUCUGCUCUCCGGCGGCGUUCCUCCCUCGCUCGCCGCCUUCCCCGCUACCGCAUUCGCGGAGAACCCGGCCCUUUGCGGCGGGCCCCUCCCCACCUGCCGCGUCCUCGUAGGCAAACCCAGCCGUCCCUCGGCGACCACUGUGGCCCCGGUUCCUCCUGCUGCUGCCGCCGCCGCCGAUGUCGUGGCAUCUUCUCCGUCCGCCCGGCCUGAGGUCGCCCCUCCGAGACGCCCCGCUGUCGACGCCAGCCGUGCGGGGAUGAACCGAAUGGCCAUGGUGGCCAUCGUCGUGGGCGACUUUGUCGUGCUCGUCCUCGUCUCCGGCUUCCUCUUCUGCUACUUCUGGCGCAAGUUCGCCGGGAAGAGCCCGUCCCGCCUUCACGAGGGGGAAAAGAUAGUCUACUCCUCCAGCCCUUACGCCGCUCAGGGCAGCGCCGCGGGUGCUCCGACUGGGAGCGGAUUCGAGAGGGGGAAGAUGGUCUUCUUCGAGGGAACGAAGCGGUUCCUGUUGGAGGACCUCCUGCGGGCCUCAGCCGAGAUGUUGGGGAAGGGCGGCUACGGGACGGCCUACAGGGCGGUGCUCGACGACGGCACCGUCGUCGCCGUGAAGCGCCUCCGCGAAGUCCUCGUGGGGGGCAAGCGCGAGUUCGAGAGCCAUAUGGAGAUCCUUGGGCGCUUGCGGCACCCCAACCUCGUCCCGUUCAAAGCCUAUUACUACGCUCGGGAUGAGAAGCUUCUCGUCUACGAUUACAUGCCCAACGGCAGCCUGUUCUUCCUUCUCCACGGUAAAGCAAUGUCGCCAUUCCAAGCACCCAUUUGCCUCAAAAAUUUGCUAUUUCAUCCAGGGAAUCGACUUAAAAUCUGAUCUUUCCAGGGAAUCGAGGGCCUGGGAGGACGCCACUGGAUUGGACGAUUAGAAUGCGGAUCGCAAUGGGGGCAGCGAGGGGAUUGGCUUUCAUCCACCAGGCGAGCCGGUCGCCGAAACUGACGCACGGAAACACCAAGUCCACGAACAUCCUACUUGACAAGGAGUGUAAUGCGAGGCUCGCUGACGCCGGGCUGGCCCUCCUGUGCCCUGCGGCGGCUGUAGCCGGUAGGGCCGGCGGGUACCGGGCCCCCGAGGCGCCGGGCGACGGGCGGCGCCCGUGGGCGUCCCAGCGGGCGGACGUGUACGCCUUCGGGGUGGUGCUUCUGGAGCUUCUGACGGGGAAGCCGGCGGCGGACGGCGGGGUCGGCGGCGAGGCGGCUGCGGACCUACCGCGGUGGGUGCAAUCUGUGGUUCGUGAGGAGUGGACGGCGGAGGUGUUCGACCUGGAGCUGAUGCGGUACAAGGGGAUCGAGGAGGAGAUGGUGGCCAUGCUCCGGAUCGCGAUGAGCUGCACCGCUCUGGCGCCGGACCAGCGCCCCAAGAUCGGCAGCGUGGUGAAGAUGAUCGAAGACAUCCGGGGCGGCGGCGGCGACCUCUCGCCCUCCCACGACUCGUUCGACUCGGACUCUACUUCCGUCUCGGAUACGGCCUAAACCGUCGGAUCGAGCCAUCGCCACCAAUCCAUCCCAAUUCUCUCCUCUUCCUGUGGCAAGGACUCGACUUUGAGAGCCGUUGGAUGAUGGGGUUUGUGUUCAUGUAAAAACGAGGCUUUGUUUGGUUGUUUUCUUGUCGACUCAUGCAGUCACUGUUUUCUUUAAUGUCGAAUUAAAUCUUAAACAAAAUCCCUGGAAAAACACCAUCUUUGGAUGCUCAGGUAGUUGCGUGAGUGCUGUGUCAUUUAAGAUCCAGUUGUUUUGUCUCUUGGUGGUCUCAGGAAACCAUUAGAGAUCAGGAGCAGGGAUAUAGAUAGCACUGCCAACUAUUGGGAACUUGUCAGUGUGACUUGUUCUACUGCAUGUCUUUUACUGGGAGCUGUAGGUUACAGGCGAAAGAGGGGACAAGAAGACGGUGCCCACGCCGGAACGAUAUAAUCGGCGGAUGGUAGCAGUUGGAACAUUUGUGACGCGGGUCAUCGUUGUCGGACAGAUGAACAAUGAUAUCAACGUCGACAGCCUCUCUUUUAACUUCGAGAUAGUAUCAUUGGGUUGUGUGGGAAUCCACGUCGUAGUUACCGAGAAUUUGGAGGGCAACCGAAGGUAAACAUCUCAAUAAUCUGAAGUAGAAGUACGAACGAAGAUGAAGUGGUCUCUUACUCUUGCGACCUCGGUGAAAAAGGAGAUGGCCGGCCAUUCAUGGGUAGGGAAAGAUGCAGAAGACAAAAGGCCCCAUGAGCAGGGGAUUUACAGGUCAUGCGGGGUAGUGACGUUAACAGUUGUGUUGGUAGAUGCCAUUAUUCGUCUCUCGGGCAUCUCUCAAAGGCUCUCUCGACUCCUCCUCCUGCAGCUCGGAGUGGAUGAACACACCAUGAUAGUUGCUUGGGGGGACCUCUUGCUACCAUGGUUUGGUGAUGGCUACUCUCGGUGGCCACUGUUCCUGCACACACCAGACAAACUCAGACUCUUAAGAUUCCUCCAUCUGUUGUCCCACAUCAAUGACUCACAUCAUGUCUAUCUCCAUUUUCUUGGGUACAGUGUCUGAGCUGCUCCUUAUUUUAAUAUGUGCGCCGGAAAUUGUUUGCUUGCUUUACGAGAAGAAGACAUGAGAGAGCUCAUCAGUCGAGCGUAGAGCACUCUUCAAUCAUUGGCCGCUCACCGACAAGGCCAUGCUUAAUCGCAGGAGGAUGGACUAAAUGUGGUUCCAGAACAAGUGAAACUGGUUGGUCGAGCUAUCUCAUUCAUCUUGCACUAUAGAAUUUAUUGGAUGCACAGAGAUCUGGAUUUAAUAAAGCCAUUACACGAGUGCCUUAAUGCGGCACGACACACAACAUUAUGCAGACACAUAAAAGCUAAGAUUCGAAUUGUUCAGAUCUUAAUAAUUAUAUUGUUCAAGUAAUUUUAGGAUUUAUUCAAAUCUAGGAAUAUGAUGAUAAAUAAUUAAUCUCACUAAUUAAAAUUAUGUCAUUAAAUUAUGUAAUAUGAUCUGUAAAUUGUGGACCGGAUGGGCCUGGGCCGGUUGGAGGACCCAACCAGGUGAAACCAGUUCGGGUCCGGUUCGAGUCAGGGUCCGACUAAACCAGAUCGGUGCGAGCGGGUCGGCUCAACGAGCUCUGUUUCAUCGCGCGCUGAUCUGCCAAUCUCCCCUUUAUCUCCCGCCCCUCUCCUCUGCCGUCAGCGAUCUCCCUUCGUCUGCCGACAUCGACCGUCACCUGUAAGUGGUUUCGUGUCCGUUUUCACCGGCCGCCUCCCUCACAUCCGACGGGUUCCGAUAGAUCGCCUGAAUGGGGGAAAUCUGGAGAAACCCCUUCGAUUUCUUUUCCAUUGCAAUCUUGUCGACCUGUGGUUUCGUGUACGUUUCCGGCGGCGCCUUCCUCAUCUCUGACGAUUUCCAGUAGAUCGCUGUGUUCUGUUAACGGGAGAAAUUUUGAGAAAUCCCUUCGGUUUCUUUCCCGUAGUUAUAUUUUGUCCAUCUGUAAGUGGGUCCGUGUCCGUUUCCAGCGGGCCGGACAGUGCCGCCUCCCUCAUCUCCGACGACUUUCAGUAGAUCGCCGCCGCGCUCCGUUUUUUUUCUGUAGUAAUCUAGUCCACCUGUAAGCUAUUCCUUAUCCGUUUCCAGCGGCCCCGACAGUGCCGCCUCCCUCAUCUCCGACGACUUCCAGUAGAUCGCCGCGGCGGUCCUUUUCUUUUUCCCGUCGGGGAAAUCUGGAGAAAUCCCUUCGAUUUAUUUCCGUUAUCUUGUCGACCUUUGCUGAGCCCUGAAGGUAAUCUUUAAUUUUUGUGUGUUCGUCUGGAAUUCGCCUGCUUAUCCCAUCCCCUUGUUCUUGUUCGAUGAUAAUAGGCCACCUUUCUCUCUAAUAUGGGUGGAAACGAGUUCCGUUUCUUCCUUUCUUGUGACAUAAAUCUUCCCGUGACCUUCCGGAUAGAGAGACUCGAAGGUUGUCUGCCUAAUCCUCCGGCUGGUAAGUCUUCUUCAUUUCUGUUUUGUCCUAGGGUUUCAUGAUUUUGAAUGUUUCAAUUUUUUUUGUUUGCAUAAAAUAUCUACUGGUAAACAAUGCAAAUAUAGAUACAUGCCAAUAUGAAGUUUGAUGAUAUAUAAUUUUUUUCCAGCAGAGAGUAGAACAGGGAUGUUAUAAAAUUAGAAUUGAUGAAAACAACUUUAGAAAGUAAAAGAAAAUAUUAUCAUGCUCAUUGGGCCAAGUGGGAACAUCGAAAGGACAUUCAUGAGUCUCCUGUCAAUGCAGUGCUGUGCCAAAAUAUUAUUGGCAUGUGCUAUGUUUUGGAAAGGCUAAUUUCUGGCUUUUGACGACCAACAUGGUUAGAAUGGUAACAAAUAAUUUGAUGCCAUCGAAGAACAAUACUUGGAUUAAGAUAUUAGAUUAAGUAGGACUAAUUUUAAACACAGGUGUAACUUAAAUAAUAUGGAGAGAGAAUUGAACAUAGUUGAAAGCGAUAGUCGAGGAUCUUUGAAUUAGAAACUCUUAGUAUGAAUUGGUUUUCAAAGAGAAAGGGGAGAUCAAGCAGACAUCAUAAAUAUAUUUGAAUGAGAUGUUUAAAAUGUAGACAGUCACUCGGAAUAUUGUGUAAUCAUUAAAUUGCUUAUAUCAGAAAAGAAACUUAUGUGAAAGCUACUAUGUCAAUAAUUUAUGGUCACAGUUUUGUGGAUCAGGAAUGAUAUAUGUAAAACUGUAGUUGAGAUAAUGAUAUUACAAUGAAAAUCUUGUGGUACUAGGAAAAAUAGAAUAACAACUGUUUAUACAUUUUGAAAAAUGAGGGUAACAGCGACCAAUAAUCAAAUAAAAAUAUUUAAUGAGGGUUAAACUAAUCCAAAUAGGACCUAGAGAUUCACUAGUAAGACAAAGUGAACUGAUUUAUCUAAUAUGUUGGAGACAGAAGAGUGUAGAAAAGACUUGGUUAAGAGUACUAACAAAGGUCACGUUGAUGUCUUGAUGAUUAAAUUAUUUAGUGACACUAUCCUCAAUAGAUAUCUGUCAUGAGAAAGGAUUCAUGUGUGUAUCUCCAAAAGCUUUGUUAAUUGUUCUUUUUAUUGUCUGGACCAUGUAAGUUGAGCAACAUUAAUUCUUCAGUUUUCUUUCUUGUGAUACCAUUGUUGGAUGUCUCAUGUCUAUUUUUGCCAAUUUUUCAGAAAUUGAUUCGCCGACUGGGAACAGAAAUGCAGAGAUUUUCGUGGAGUGCACCUUGCACAUUGAUGGGGCUCCUUUUGGAUUGUCAACAAAAACAAGGUUUUCUUGUCCUUUUACCUUCCAGGCAUAUGUUAUGCAUGAUUAGUUACUAUAUAUGUUACCUUUUUGAUCUCUUAGUCAUCGCAUGAUUUAGGACAUUUGUCAGUCUCAUGCCAGGUUGGAAGCAUCGGGAUGUCCAUAUUGCUGGAAUGAGCUUAUUACAUUGACUGCAAAGUACCGGGACCUGACUUCACGUGCCCAACUUGCUUUUACUGUAAGUUGUUCAGUCCAUUUUGCUUUUAUAAUAUAUAUAUAUAUAUAUAUAUAUAGUAACUUGAAUUCUGUGAGUUCUUCAGAUUUCAGCAUUAGAAGCUGUAGAUCAUUUUCGUGCACUUAUGUAAGCAUUUAUUUACUUGCUUAGUUUUCUGGGUGAACAUAAAAGGAAAAGAAAAUCAUAUUAUAUUUAGCAUUACUCUGCAAAUUUCACUUCCUCAACUUCAAGGAAGACAACCUUUAAAUAAUGAAUUCUUUUAUCACCCUUUUCAGUAUUUUGUUAUUAAAGACCAUAUUCUCUGGAGGUUGAUUAUUUGAUUUGUUAGAUUGCUGCUAACACUUUGAGAGGAACUUUCUUGGACAAUUUUUCCUUAGAUUGGUAUGCUAAACAACAUCUUGUCAUAGUUUGAGCUCUUAAUUUUCUUCAUCAAAGGAUAUGCGGCUGCAUAUAUCGCACAUGUGCUACGAGGUACCUUCGCCUCUUGCAUGCUAAGUCUGCUUUGUCCUGCUUUGGAGCAAAAAGUGGCACAAGUUACAUGCAUUUGUCUUUAUUAUUAUCCUUUUGAACAUCUUUAGUGGUAAAAAUAACAGCCCAAUCAAAACUCCUCACCUGAAACAUUUUGUGGUGCUCGGCUUCGCCUCGCCUCCAUGGGUGCUUAUGUGAGCACCUGCCUCAUGACAACACUACUUUGUGCUAAUAUGCGUUUCACUGUACAAUAAUUUUUUUAUGUUAUUGACAAUCCCAGUAAACUUGUACCAUAUCAGAAAGACAAACUAUACUUUGACUUGUAACUAUCUUUCUAUGAGUUCUGUUUCAUGUUGUGACUUGAAUAGUGACUGGCUGAUGUGACACACAUUCAGGGGGCAAGAGGGGGUCGGGAUCAGUGAUGGCAUGCUUUUGGAAGUGUGCUACAUUUGCAACUCUGCCUUAAGUGGGGCACUGAAUUGUGGCACACAGCACACAGCACACAGCAUACUGCUUGUUGUACUUACAAGAUACUCGAGGCAGCUAAAUGCUAAUAUUUUGUAUAGAAGCUCACAUGACUAAUCUCUUAUGAUUGUCAAAGGGUAAUAUGAUUUAACAAAAGCUGUUUACUUUUAAGGUUGAUUUUAUUAAUCGUGAGUCAAUCGUAUCAAGAAUCUCCACAGGACAGGAGUAUGAGAGCCUCUUUUACUACUUAUUGGAUUAUCACUAGCGUAUGUUCAUUUUAAUUUUUGUUGAUAGGUUCCUUUACUUGAUAUUGUCAUUGCUGCUUGUGCACCUCUGUAAAGCCUACCAUCGCAUUGCAUAUGGUUGGAUGUUAAGUAAAUUGUACUUUAUUCAUCAUGCGAGGUGUCAAAGCAAUUAAACCUUGAUAAAUUUACCUGGAUUUCUAAAUAACAGCUUUAUGAUAUGCUAUUCCAAGUUUCAAAUAUAUUAAGUUGCCUAUAUGUGAUUUAAAAAUUUGACCUUGAAUCUGUACCAACACCUCCAUAGAUGUCCUUAAUAAGAUGUUACUAUAGAAGUUGAAUAUGAAUAAACUUUUACCAAAAUGAGAAAACUACCAGGUUCCCUCUUUUAAAUUCAUAUAUUCUUAUUCACUAUCUAUUUUUCAGUUUCAACAGUUAACUUGUUUUUUACAGCUUUUCUCCUGAUUUAGAGAAAGUCACUGGUUUUGGUUUGAUGAAUCACAUGGAAUUCUAUUUUUUUAGUAUUUCUAUGAUUUUACAAUGAUUUUUGCCUCAUGUAUCUUCUUGAGCUCACGAUUGGCUUCAGUGUUCUAAAAGCCGAGUUUAUGGCUCUCUUUGCUUGUAGGUUUGGGAUGUCUCAUGUGGUAAUGACAAUGGUUUAGUUGGUGGAGCAACAGUUUUUCUUUUUAAUAGGAAAAAACAGUUGAAAACAGGGAGGCAAAAGCUUCGACUUUGGCCUGGAAAAGAGGCAGAUGGAGCAAUUCCGACAACUACACCAGGAAAGGUUAUUGUCAGGUUUUAGUUGAAUUCUUUUCUUCAUGUAAAUAAUGGUCAAUGAACCCUAGUUGUCACUUUGUUACACCAAAUCGACAUUCAUGACAUUUUCCAUAUUUAUGUAUCUAUUUAAAUGCUUACAAAUUGGCAGGUCUCCAAGCAUGAGCGUGGUGAGAUAGAACGUCUGGAGAGGCUUGUAAACAAGUAUGAAAGGGGCCAAAUACAACAGAUUGAUUGGUUGGAUCGUCUUACCUUUAAAACUGUUGAUAAAAUUAAGGAAAGAGAAAGCAUUACGAGUGAAAACUCCCACCUUAGCUUGGUUGUAAACUUUUGCAGCUUUGAGCACAGGGUUGUUUUCCAGGUUAGUUCUUAAGAACUCAUUGGUUCAGUGGCUUUUAUUUGUUAGCCAAUAUCUCAAAUUGUUUGCAUUAUGUAAUUUUAUCUUGUAGGGUUUUUUACUAAUCACAGAAAACAUAUUUAUUAACAUUGUUGUUUGAUUGCUGCAAUUUUUAUCAGAACUUCAGUUUGGUGGCAGAAUUGAAGUAUCAUUUUUUAGUAAUUACAAAGUUAACUUUGGAAAAGUUUAUCUUUUAGAAAUUGAUCACUUCUAUGAACUUUUUGCAGUUAGUAGCAAUUUCACCACUAUACAAUCUCUCAGAGAAUAUUCAAGUGAUUUAAUCAAGAUUUCAUGUGCAUCACAUAAAAAAAGAAAAAAAGCAUUAUUUCUACCUUAAGCCAAGCCUUGGCAUCAUGAUGGUGUUGAUCCUUCACAAACUUGGAUGACCAUAAUUCGAGUCAUGAAAUUGCACAAUUUUUUAUUUUCCCCUCACCUUGCAUUGGUAGGAUCUGUACUAGGUCACACCUUUUUUACGAUUGUCUUAUGUGCUAGGCCACUCUUUUUUUAUGUUUUAUUGCCAUAAUAUUUUUUCCAUUGUAUGAAUGCAAAUUUAGCGCUAGAAGUCUUAUUCAUCACCAAGUUAGAUAAUCUAACAAGAUUAUGGAAUUAACUUGUUUUGCAUAUCAGUCUUUUCCCAAGUGAUAAGGAACAGCUUCUUCGGAACAAUCAAUUCUGAUCUGAUCGAUCCAGUUAAUGCGGAUCUUGAUUAGCCACUUGCGAACCUGAUUUGUCACUUUCUAAACUACUGCUGGCAAUUGCCCAAGGCCACCAAGCUGAAUCAGUUUAAAAUUGAACAGAAUUGGCUGAUCCAGGAUAAUGAUUCAAUGGAUUCUAGCAAAUAUGUUUUUGCUAGUUUAAGAAAUAGAACAAGAGAGAGCAGAUGAUGUCGGAGGAAAGGGAAGACGAAAAGGGGAAACAAAUAACCUGUCUUGUUGCUGCCCUUUAUAUUUCAUUGAAUUGCCUUUUUCUUCUCUUAUUGCUGCAAGAGAUAGCAAGAGAGAUAGUAAUAGAUGAGGGGAUCUGUGGGUGUCUUUGAAUUCACAUGAAGACUGGAGUUCAUAAUUUUGCCUUCAUCAUUCUAUUUUUAUAUUUUAGUUUUAACUAUUUUAAAAUUAGAUUUUGUAAUAAAAUAGUCUUUUGUGUAUCCAAACUUUUAUUUUCUUCAAUAUAUUUUUUAUGUGUUCUUUGUUUUCCCCUUUUAUUUGAACUUUUGAUUUGUAGAUUAAUAUUUGCUCAUUCUGAUUCGACUGAUCCUAGGCCAUACACCAAUCCUGACAUUGAUUCUGAUCCUGUGAACCCUGUUUAGGAGUUUAUCUAGUCUUCUCCUACAUAGUGUUAUGAAGUAACUGUUUUCAGUUUGUUUGUCUUGUUCUGUGUUACUAAUGCCAUGAAAUUGCAUAGAAUAGAUGUUGAGGUUUCUUGUUAGGAUCACUCUUCGAGCUAGCUUUCAGGAUAUGAUAUAUGAAUCCUGGUGAGGGUGUCAUCAAACAUGUUCAGUGGCUUGUCAAAGUUUUGAUAGAUGAAACAUAGAAUUAUAUCCUUUAUUAGGGAAUAAAUGACAAGUUUGGGUAUUGCUGCUUUCUGCUCAAGGGCUUGUUGCAUGCUUAGCCACGUAGCAUGAUUUAACUAUGCCCUGUCCUUGUUUUAAAUACUAUUGUCAUCUCUUUGUUUAGAUUCUUCAAAGCUGUUUGAUGAAUAAGGUCUUGGUGCUUAGAUUCUAUAGCUUCUGCAUGAUGAGCAUAGAUUUUAUGUAAUAAGGAAUUUUUUCUUCCAGCAUCUGCAAUUGAUUCAUGAAAAACUUGAAUUCAGUAUCAUAAAUGUUGCUGGGGAGGUUGGCAAAAUAUGAUGGCAAUAGUGAUUGAUAGGCCAUAUGCUCUUUGUUUGAUCCAUUUACAAUUGUUUGGGAAGAGCUUACUUGGCACUGAUUAAAGACCUCGUACGUGGUUUAAUUUUUCUGUUGUCUUGGAAUAGUUGGUAUACUUUUGGGUUUCUAGGUGAAGAGUGAAUUUCAGUGUUGGUGAACAUUUUUACAUAAAUUUGUUGCACAAUUGCAAAUUAAAUCUGUUUAUGUUAUUUGGUUCUCUUUCUCAACUUCAAUUUGAACUAGUGGAAUUUCAUCCAAUAAUUUAUAUUUAGUUAUUUGAUUUGGGCUUAAGGGACUGAACCCCUUAGUAAAGUGGCUUGAGAAUUGGUUGUCUAUUUUUCUGUUUCUAGUAAUGUAGCAUAUUAGGAAUAGAAAUGUUCUUGCUAUUUAAAUUUUCCCUUUAUGUUGAAGUUGUCUUGAUUUGUUUAUGCAAUCUGUCAAUGAUCUAUUGACUCAGGAAUCAUUGUUUUGUGAAUUGAGAUCACCCAUUUAUUUGCUUGACUUGCAGGAGUCUGGAGCGAAUUUUUUUGCACCAUCCCCUGUAUCUUCGACAAAUGAGCUUGUUACUGUAUGGGAUCCUGAAGUUGGAAGGACAAAUCCUUCAGAGCACAAGCAAUUAAAGCUUGCUAGAAGCUUGACUCGUGGGAUUAUUGAUAGGGAUCUCAAACCAAGUGUUAACGAAAGGAGGUAAUUUUAGACUGCAAUUAUGGCAUUUAUCAUUUCAUGUAGCAUUUCUAUACCUUCAGUACCUGGCCUUUUUCAAUCUGCUUUUCUGAGGUAGUCUAUCUGUGAUAUUGUUCCAUACCUGACAUUUUUUUCACAUUUUUAACACAAGAAUUUCAUUAUGCUUUGUGCUUGAACCUUUAGGCUAAUAACAAAUAGCCUACAGGAAACAUGGGCUAAAGAAUGCACUUUCAUGGUUGUGGGGACGAUGAGAUAGUUUAUGUACGUUACACCACAGAAAGUUCCUAGCAGGUUAUUUUUAUGCCAAAUGAAUCUUGUACUUCUGUUAUGAGGCAUUUCCCCCUAGGCUUGAAGGCAGAAAAAAUAUGUAGGAAGUACUGGCUGUCAUCUAUUUUUUGUCCAAUGAGUAUGGAUUAUGAUGAUUAACUUUAUCCACAAAAGCACUUCUAUAUGCAAAGGCAAUAUUAUCCCUUUCCUUCUAGCUUACGAUGAUGUAUGAUCUGGCAUGAAGGUUAAUACAGGGAAUCCUGAAGUAUCCUCCAACACGUGCACUAACUGGUGACGAGAGACAAUUAUUGUGGAAAUUUCGUUUUUCUUUGAUGUCAGAGAAGAAGGCCCUCACCAAAUUUCUACGCUGUGUUGAAUGGAGUGAUGUUCAGGUUAGAAUCUUGUAGCUCACUCAGAUGCUGCUUCAAUAUCAUAUUGUUGUUUCUUUUUAAAUUUGCUGUAUUUCCUUGUCUUCUCUGAGUCUUCUGUGAAUUAAUCUUGCAUAUGUCCAUGAAAUGUUGCACUUUGUGCAUAUGCUGCUGAUUAAUAUCUUUCAUCUAAUGGUAAUUAUUUUAGCAUGUAAUCAUUCCCCAUUAUAGGAGAGUUGGAUUACAUUUCAGAGUGAAUUUGGAGUUUUUGGUCUCUGCACAUUCAUCUGAUACUUGGACCUCUAGAUUUUUUCUGUCAUAUGGACUAAAUGUGAUCUUUUCAUUGAAAAUAUGCUGCUUCAGUGCUUUAGAUCUGUCAUGUGUAUUUUUUGGAUAUAUUAGCUUCAUAUUGGUACUUAGAUUCUUACAGCUGUUCAUCAUGUCCAUCGAAGUUGGCACAUUCCUUGGGAAAUGCAAAUUUUAGUAUUAAUAUUUUUUUUAAAAUUUAUGUACUUGUGUUAUAUGACUGUCCAAACGCUUCAGCGUUAUCUAGGCACAUUAAAGAAACCAUGGUUUGCCGUACCGAACAGUACCGCCCGGUACGGGCGGUACGUACCGGUCCGACAGACUUUCGGUACGCGGACCGCCUCUUACCGUUCCGGUACACCCGUACCGUACCGUACCGAGCGCGGGUCGAAACGCCGGUACGGUACGGUACGGCGAACCUUGAAAGAAACAAUAUUAGUCUUCAUGAUUGAUAUUUUGUACUUGUAUAAUUUCGUCACCAAAUGUUCCUGAUAUAUCUCUUUCUGCUAUAUUACACAUUUAGGAGAUUCAUCAUUGGUUUUUUAACUGCCAUUUAAUUUAUGAUAAAUCUUCCACAGGAAGCAAAACAGGCAAUUGAUUUGAUGGGAAAGUGGGAAACCAUUGAUGUCACCGAUGCAUUGGAGCUUUUGUCUCCUGUUUUUGAAAGUGAAGAAGUGAGAUUAUAGAAAGCUUUUGUUGUUUCUGUAUAAUGUUUAGCCUAGAUACUUAGUGUCAUUGACUAGUGAUAUUUGUCCAAUUUUCAUUGAAAGUUUAAUAAACAUUAUCUGAUAAUCUGAUAUGUCUAUUGUGGGGAUGGUACUCAUUUAUAAAUAGUGUAUUCAAUAGGCUGGACUUUUAAUUCACUUCAAUAUUAUGUUUAAUGUUACAAUCUCACUUGACAAACUUGCUAGGCAGGUCCAUUCUAGAUUUAUUUGUCAGUAUAACUUAUCAUCAUUUUCUAAUGUUGGAGCAUCACAGUUAAAUUAUAAGUUUUUGCAUGAUAGUUUCUCUCACUUAGGUUUGAUGUUCUCCUCAAGGUGCAACACGUAGCAUAUGUAUCUUAAAAUCAUAUCCUACAACAUAUGGGACGCAUAUAACCAUAAAGCAACUUCAAAUCAUGGUAUCCCUUGUACUGUUCAUGAUUAGCCCUUUCAUCUUCAAUCUACUAAUUGUCAGCUAAUUUGAUUAGAAUAUUUGAUGAUUUUAAGAUUUCUUUAAGAUACUUGUUUUGCUUACCUUAAUACAUGUCAACAUCUCAUCGUUAUUGUCUAAGAAUCUCCCCCAUGAAUGACUUCAAAAGUGCUUUGUACAUUUUAGUUGGAGUUCAUAAUUAUUUGAUCUUGUUACAUGGAUGAAACAUAAUUCUAUGAUAUACGCGAUGUUAACAAUAUCUUUUAGAGCAUAUAUAUGGAUUAUCUUGAAACCAACUAAUGUAAUCUAGAACUGACAGUGGUUGCUGCAAAUUGACACCACUUCCUGAUAUUUUUAGUAUUAGAGGUGAUUUCAUAUUGAUAAGUAGCAGCUAUUCACAUCUGAUCCUGAUGGAUGAGAAGUUGACACACAUGAUCAAUUACCUAAAUUACAUAAAUAUUUUUACUAGUUAUCAUGAACAACUGCACGUGAUUCAUUUUCUGAUAUGAUACUUCAGUUAUCAAUUACAAAUUCCUCUUGUUCAAUGUGUUCUAAACAGGUUCGUGCAUAUGCUGUGAGUGUUCUUGAGAGGGCUGAUGAUGAGGAACUCAAAUGUUAUUUACUUCAGCUAGUGCAAGCUCUUCGUUUUGAGAGAUCGGAUAAGUCUCGCUUGUCACAUUUUCUUGUGCAACGCUGUAUGUUAUUUUAACCCAUUACAAAUUCAAGUGCCAUUAGUACCAAGAACAGUUGCAAGACUGCUUUUUACAUUUUUGGUUGUGGAUAUUUAACUAUGUAAGCAUAUUGUAUAUUUUGUACUUAAAAUUAUACUUUCCCUUGCAUUUCAGGUCAUCAGGAUAAGUAGUCUGAGAUUUGGUAGAUUUUUGUUUGUGAAAAUAUAAAACUUAGAGAACAAAAAGGUAAUUGAGGCAUGUGAUAGUUAAGAGAGGAAAUCACUUAACUAUGAAAUGACAAAUUGACCCUACUAAAGGAUUUUGGGAAUUGGGAUUACCAUAACGGGUAACAAGAUGGAGAUGUCAACUGUCUAUUCAAUGUCACUUAGCACAGUUAGAAGGUGAAGUAAUUUAAACCAGAGAACUUCUUUUCACUUGUAUUGGUACGUUACGAUUGGUAUUUACCAGUCCCGGCAUGAACCAGUACAUGGUCCCAACCCAUUUCAGGAUGUCUUGUCUGGGUCAUAUAUAAAAGAAAAAAAUAGUUCUCACACUAAUCUUCCUAAUCGCAAACCUGAACAUGUGAUCUCCCUGCCGCUGCCUACCUCCCUGCUUUCCACCACACAUCACCGACCAGGUAUGCUCCUCUUCUCCUCCUCCUCUUCCUCUUCCCCCACUGCCACAGCAUCUUCCUUCCUCAUUCUCCUCCUUCAUCUUCCCAUCUUCUUCCUUCCUUUUCCUCCAUCGCCUUCUCUUCCUCCUUCCUCCUCUUCCUCCAUCACUUCCUCUUCAUCCUUCCUCUUCCUUAUCCUCUUCUUCUUUCGCCUUUUUCCUCCUUCACCACCACCUCUUACUUUCUCUUCUCCUUUUUGUUGUUCCUCUUUGAGUCUUCAGUACAUGUGUGCCAGUCGAUACUCCGACCGGUAGAGUACCCCACUAUGGGAUUACAAUCCUUGAUCCUAGGUACCUGUUUGCUCAAUUAAUAUCAACUUAUUGUUGCCUUCUUUGCUCGUUCCUCUGCUGAGUGAUUGUUGACAUUCCUUCAUGCUGCUCUUCUACUGAUAAAUGAAUAUUCAUUCACUUCAAGGAUCUUUGAUGAUUUGGUCUUAGUGUCUUUCAUUGGGUAUUGAACAUUUUUCAUUUUUAUUAUUAUGAGAUAAUGGUUAUCUAUUAACGUUUCUUUUAUUGGGUAUUGGACGUUUUUCAUUGUUAUCAUUGAGAUGAUGAUUAUCUAUGAACAUAUUUUUAUUUCCUAACAUUUGUAUAGGCUUUCCUUUAUUUUAUCUAUUUAACCUUUUUGUGCUGUUUCUUCCCCAACUUUUACAGCUUUAUCAAAUAUCGAGAUAGCUAGCUUCCUUCGUUGGUAUGUAGCAGUCGAGCUUCAUGAUCCUGCUUAUGCAAAGCGUUACUAUUGUACUUACGACAUGCUGGAAGAUAGUAUGAUGAGAGUAUAAUUUUAACUUUCUUUGCAAUGCCUUUCUUUUCUGUUAUUUCUCAAAUUAUUUUGUUAAUGAUGUAAUGCAAAUUUUAGAACAUAAUAGGAAGCCACAUGUCAUGCACAUGGAUGUUCCUUCAAAGGACUACUUUGGAGUUACUUUUUGGAGAUGAUUAAUGGCUUUAUACCAUCUCUUAUCAUUACCCAAAUUAUCAUAGGGCUAUGGACAUGACAUUUUUUCUGGCCAUUUCGGUCAAUGUCUUUAGUUGUCACUACGCCUAUACUCUAUCCCUACUAGACUACAUCAGCAUAUGAUGCCAUAGUUGUCACUCUACCUAGAAUCUUCCAAGGCUGGUCAAUUGGCACUCUGCCUGGUAGCAUACUCGUAUAUCAUCCAAGGCCACCAUUUUUAUUGGGUUAUUAUCUACAUGAUCAUGGUCUCAAGUCAGGUAUGAUGUCAUAUCUGUCAUGAAACAUAUGUGGAACCUCAUGAUAGAUAUGAACUUUUUUGAUUACUUGGUCCAAUAGAAAAGUCUGUCAUAUUACGAACAUGGUGAUAUAUGUAUAGAUGUUGUAGCCAUCAUGUUUCACUUGCCAACAUGAGGGAUUCUUGUGAUACAAUGAGCCUUAGCAAAAACAUAAAAAAUUUUAGGGAGACUGGCACCUGUGUGCCAUAUCAAAGAUCCACUAAAAUUGGAAAAAUAUAACUCCACUGAAAAUUGCUACUAUGCAUUAAUGUACUAUAAUUUAGUCAUCAGAUCAAAUAACUAAAAAACAAUAUUGAAUGUCUUUUAACCUAUUAGAGGCAACAACUCAAGUCUACAGAAAUACCUAGCACUUUUUGUAAUUUGUUAACCUUCAAAGACUUGAACAGUUUAGGAGAGGGACCAACCUAACCUGCUAUCUCUUAUUUUCUCGCCUUCACCAAAUAUCUCCAUCUCCAGCAACUUCAUGCUUGUCACCUCUUUAACGUUCACGAUGUUUGCAUGGCCACUGCCCCCUUCUCCUUUAACACUGCUCAAUGACAGUCUCUACUUUUCCCUGCUCUUUCACCUUGUCGCUUUUCUCAAAAUGGCCUCUCUCUUGUUCCAUUUUAUCCCAUCUGACCAUCCAUUUGAGGCAAUUUUGCCUCCACUGUGCCCCCUAGAAGAUCGAGAUGAAAGCCUCUCAUUAAAAUGCUUGGACAAUUGUCCCUUUGCAUAAUGUAGGGAGUUCUGGCUUGGUCACAUCAGAUUCAUCAGCAAAUCAUCAGGGAUGUUCUAUGCCACAUCGUGAUGUACAAGUUGGUUUCGCUCUUUUUCUGUCGUAUCACUGUCUAGUGAACAACUUAGGUGCAUAUCUGUUGAAAGUUAGUCAAUUUUUUUGAUAGAAUUUUCCUUUUCAAUGUAUCUAUGAACCAACUAAUGACAUGUCAUUUUCUUAAGAAUUCCAUCCAUUGUGUUUAUUUUUCUAUUUAAUGCUAAAAAAUCAUCCUAAUUAAUAUUGAAGAGACUUUAAUUUAUGUUCAUUAAUAAUACAAUGAUAAUUAUUGAAUAUGCAACUUAUAAUUAAUGUUCAAAACUCUAGUUUAUUUGUCUAUAUUGUAGAUUUGAAACUCCCAAAUAGUUGGUACUUUAUGGUUUUGUUGUUGUACAUUUGAAACCGAUGUUUAAAUAUUGUGUGAAUGUUAAAUAUUUUAGAUAACUUUACAGAAAGCCACAUGGUCAUUUCAAUGUUGCUUAACAUGCAUCAUUGUUAUAGUUUGUAUUUAAAAUGUAAAAUAAGAAAAGCAACUGGAGCCUCUUGCACUUGGUUGCUCUUCUUUAAUAAAAGAUUUUGACAAGAGUCCAACGCUGUGUUUGAUAAACUGACAUGAAGCAUGGGCAUGAAAAUACAGGUAACUCUGCAUGACAGACCCAUAUAAACUUUUAUUGGCAGUUCAUUGCCUUUAUGACAAAUACUUCAAAUGGAUCUGAAUUAGUACUGAUUGCAAAUUUAAAGGAAAUACGACUCCCUAAACCCCACAUUGGUUGGAGUCUCAUGCAUUAAACUGCCUUUUUUUGUCUUGAAAAAUAAAAAAAGAACAGAUUCAAUUUAUUCAACAAAUAUGGUCAGAUUUGGUUUUUUUACAUGAAGUGUUAUUUCUUAAGCUUUUAAAAUCUCAAAAUUUCUUUUUUAAUAAACAGUUGGAAGCUGGUGUAAAUCAAGAUGAAGAUGGAUUUAAGUUAUGGCAAAGUUUGGUCCGUCAGACGGAAUUGACAGCUCAGUUGUGUUCAAUUAUGAGGGAUGUAAGAAAUGUACGUGGUGGAACACAAAAGAAAAUAGACAAAUUAAGGCAGCUUCUUUCUGGACUCCUUAGUGAGCUUACCUAUUUUGAUGAGGUAGCUGUUUUUGCUUCAAGGUUUACUCUUUUGCUAAUUAGAGUUGGUUGUGAACCUGUGAUAUCUUUUUCUCUUGUUUAUUGCUCUGUUUCCUCUAUUGACAAAUUUAGUGUUCUCUAUUGUUGUUGAUGUGUUUUAGCCUAUUCGAUCACCACUGGCUCCUGGCAUCCUCAUAACUGGUAUUGUGCCAACAGAAUCAUCCAUUUUCAAAAGUGCACUGCAUCCUUUGCGUCUUACAUUUAGGACAGCCAGUGGUGGAACUUGUAAAGUGAUCUUUAAAAAGGGAGAUGAUCUCCGCCAAGAUCAGUUGGUAGGUUGCUUUUUUUAUUGUAUUCCUAAAAAGGAGAAUUUUGUACCUUUCAGCCUCAUGCCUUGAUUUUUUAAGGGUUAUCAUUCUUGUCCCUGGCAACAACUCUCUGUUGGAUGAGAUUCAAAUUUCCUUAUUUUCCAAUGCUCUGGCAAACACAAGAAAAUAACUGCACAUAUUCAUAUACUCUUGUGUGUGUGUGCGUGCCCUUUUUUUGCAUGGUUAUGAUGUUGAUCUCUGGAAUGUUAUAUCUAUAGGUUAUCUGUUCUUUCAUAUGGUCUCUCUGGUGUUCCCUUAUAAAUGUGAAACUAGUUUUUAUUUUUUGGCAGUAAAUCAUCUAGAUAAACAUUUCUAUGGUUUCUGUAUUUGUUACCAAGCAUGCUAAAACCAUAGUUCAAAAUUUUCUUUUGCCAGAUAAACCGACAUCAAAUUGUCUUAAGUUAGAAUUCCCAUAGAAGUCAAUCUUUUGGCUUCUCUCUAUCCUCUCUGACUUCUGAAUUGGAAUUGGUACUUUGCCUUCUGGUUCAUCCUGUUAUUUUUGGAUGUUAACAAGGUUUUUCUUUUAUCUUUCAAGUGGUCACAUUUUUACCUUGGAUGCAAUUUUUUUUUUCACGGCUAUUAAAACCAGUCAUUCAAGUGAGCCUUUUUAAUUAAAGGUACAAUAAUUUUCUGACGUUGUAAACCAAAACUAAACUUGUUCUUCUGACUCUCUUUUUGGGAUUUACAUUUUUCUACAGCCAUGUGUGCUUAAUUUUUUCUUUCCCUACAUGCUUCCUACCUGUUAAGGGAGGUCCUGCGUUGGGGCUAAACUUAGUCCAAAACACAUUGGCAAACUUUGUCCAGAACAGUUGACAUUUAGAAGAGUACAUUACAUUGAAUGCUUUCUAUUAGGAGCUCCCAGCUACAUGGUUUUACAAAGUUGUUAUUUUUUGUUCAUUUGCUUUCCUUUUUCUUGUGUUACUUUGACUUUGAAAUCCGUAAAUUAAUAUUGGUAGUCAUGAUGCUGGUCGAGGGGAACCUGUUACGUGCUGUAUGAAUUUGAUUUGGUCGCACUGGUGCAGGUUAUUCAAAUGGUUUCUCUUAUGGAUCGGUUGCUUAAGUUGGAAAAUCUUGACUUACAUUUGACCCCCUACAAAGUUCUUGCUACUGGGCAAGAUGAAGGAAUGUUAGAAUUUAUUCCAUCCAGCUCCCUUGCACAGGUAACUUGAAGUUCUUGCAAUGCGUAGACAACUGCCUAUGGAAGCUUGUAUUUUUAUGAAAUGCAAUGCUUUUGCUAAUGAAGUUUCUUGUUGUGGUUGGUUAUUCUUUUCUUGGAACAUAUAGUUGGUGAAGGUUCUACAACAUAAUAUUAUUUUCUUGUGUGACAAUGUUUUCAGUCCUCUCCAACAGUCUAGAUGGCUCCUACUUCGUUUCAACCAUUUGCUGCCUUACCACAUGGUAAAUGGCAGGUGAUUGGAGGGGCAAGGCAAUGAUGAAGAGGAAAUAUAAACCACAUAUUAGACAGUAUGCUUAUGUUAAUGUGGACCAUAUCUAUGUGGAGCCAUCUAUUCCAUUUAUGUGGUAAUUACAUAUAUGGAGAUUAAAUCAACUUUAUGUGUAAGCUAAUCCUAUCACAUGACUGCAUAUGUAGAUUUGGCCCCUUUGACUGCAUUUUGGAAAAUUAGAUUAUUUGCAAAGUCAGGUGUUCAUGUAUCUCAACAAUCUGUUCUAGGUUAUUAUCCUUUGUCGUCCAAUUAACACCUUAGAAUAAUGGGAGUUCUCCUGUGUAUAUAUCUGUCCUUUUAUCUGUGGUCAGAUACUAAUCUAGAGCUGAUACUAGUAAACCAGAUUUCUUACCUGGGCAAUUAAUUUUAGUUUUUGAUGUUUAGUCAAGGUAAGAUAUUGCCGAAGGUUAAAAGGUAUGUAUCCAUUUUUAAGCUGUCAAUACCAAUAUAUGUCCAAAAGUAGGCAACUUUCCUCUUCCCACCGAUUAAAGCCAUCUAACCUGACACUCUUACUAUGAAAAUGUUUCACAAACAAAAAUAAUUUACAUUUAAAGAGCAGAAAUGGCCCAAGAAGGUUGCUACAUUGCACAAGAGAAGAUCUUGUCAUCAAAGUGAAAUUUUUUUACUAUAAUGCCAAAGCAUUUUAGUAUAUAUGAGUUUGUCUGAAGUUCUCUGGCUCUUACCAUGGUAAAAUGAAGAUGGUUCUUUAUGGUGUUUUGGUGUUCGACAAACUUUAGAUUCUGAUAAUGUGUGAUAAAAUUUAAUGGUGUCAUUGCAUCAUAGAGUACUUAAUGUAGUAGUACGUGGGUGUGGUCCAAAUAAGUAUCAUGUUCUACAAUUUUGUUGUUUUAUUUUGGAGUGAUGGGUUCAAUAAGCAUAUUCAUCUGUUCCAAUUGUACCAAUUUUAUAUUCAUUUUAAGUCUUUGACAAUUUUUUUAAUUUCGAAUUUAGUAUAUUUGUAUAAUUAGUUUCACACACUGACUGGGUAAUGGUAUAUUAGAUUUUGUCAGAACACCGUAGUAUUGUGAGCUAUCUACAGCGGUUUCACCCUGAUGAAGAUGGACCAUUUGGCAUAACAGCUCAAUGCCUUGAAACAUUUAUAAAAAGUUGUGCAGGCUACUCAGUUAUCACAUAUAUACUGGGUAUAGGUGACAGGUGAGGUUGCUUCUCUUUUUUGGUCAUGUCCUUUCUUGUGAAAACAUCAUAUCUGAUUGUGUUUUAUGCAAUUCUUUUUAUUUAGAGUGACAUUUCCGUUUCUAAACAUGACCAGUCUAAUCAUUGGAUUAUUUAGGACAAUGUCAAGUGACAUUUCCGUUUUCGUUUUUAUUUAGAGUAAUAUAGGGGGUACCAGUAUAAUCAAUGGAUUAUUUAGGACAAUGCCAUUUGAUGCUGCUAGUAUGGCAUCAGUAUAUCAUUUGGUCACUUCUCUUUAUUUUUUUCUGACCAAGGAGUUUUCUUGGAUGAUUAUUGUUGACUUUUACAGGCCGUUUGAAAUUUUUGCAUGCAGAUACUGAGACAAACAUAAAUAAAAAAAUUGUGUAGCAAAGUUGAUGAUAUUGAGAUGGAUUCAAUGUUACUAGGAAAAUAGAAUAAAUGUUAUGUCCAUGACCAACUAGUGGUAGUUCUGAUCGAGGACAGAAAAUGAGGGCAACUGUUUAGGUGUCCUGGACCUUGUCCAAAGUUAUAAAUGAACUAAUUCAGUAUGGCGGGUCAACUUAUACAAGUGAUGAGAGGAGUGGUAGAGGAAGCGGUAUGAAGACUUCAUGCGAAAUCAAAAUUAGGAAUUUGAGAACUCUGACUAGUGACUUGCUCUUAGUAGAGCUCAAUUGUGAGCCAAUAUUCCUGUAAUUAAUUCCAUAUACUUGUGUUAUAUGUUUGUUGCUGUCAUUGUAUAUUUCAAGGUAUGCAAUACUGUAUCGUACCGGUGUUUCGAGGUUGGCUCGGUACGGUACUGUGUACUGAGCGGUAUGCUAGGGCGUACCGAGCGGUACACCUAAUUUAGGUGUAAAACCCUCCGAAAAUACUUGAAAAUAAAAAAAAAGUUAGGAUAGGGUUUUUAAGUUAGAAAUAAAUAUAGUAAUAGCAUAAGUUUAACAAAAUCAAUAUAAAUUAGGUAAGAAUAGUAUCACAUAUCUUUUUCGGGCUUUGAAAAAUAUCUUGUGCAAGGUUCGUAUUUCAGUUCAUUAUGGAUUGUCCUUAUGUAAACAUACAUGUUGAUUAGAAAGAUCUUCCUCUUAAUCUUCCCAAAUUAGCCUCGAUUUAAUUCACAAAUCGUUGUUUUGUAGAGUUUAAGAGAGCACAAAUGUGAGAAAAAAAUAAUUUGAGAUAGUUUAAGAGAGUAUGAGAAUGUAAUGGAGUGAAAUAUGAGAGAAGAAGAGUUUAAAUAAUAAAUACUAUGAGAAAGGGCUCCAACGAUCAAUUUGACCGUUGGAGCACUGUAUCAUUGUUACCGAGCGGUUUUAAAUAUUUCUUCCUCUUACUGUAGCACUGCUAUAGCAUAGCACUGUAGCACGUUCCGUCCGGUAGCGGGUGGUCCGUGUACCGGUACGUACCGCCCGCUAUUCGAAAUUACAUGCCUUGGUAUAUAUGACCAUUUGACUUAAGGAUAAUAAUUACAGACAUUCUAAUAUCCAUUUCAUAUUUCAUUAACUUCCAGUAAUAAAAUCCUUCUUUCUGUCUCACGGUCAAAUACAUUACAGGAAUACAAUACUUCCUCUGGUGCCUUUUCCAAGCAAAACAUCUCUUGAGCCGGUUAGCUCUCUUAGCGGUUCUUGGCUUCUCACAUUAAGCAUGAGUUUCUAGGUGCCCUUUAGAGGGGAAGAAAUCCUCCCAACUCUCGUGAACUUGGAUUUCUCGCUCAGUUUCCACAUAGUUGUCUGAUAACCAUUUCAUGUUCCAUUAGCUUGGGUGCAAAAAGAGUAGUAAAAAUUCACUUAGUGUAAUGAAACAAUUCCUGGUGGAAUAACUGUAUGCUGUGUUGUCUUAGUUUUCCAUUCUAGAAGUCUCUGUUUAUAACUUUUCUCUCUUGGAAGAGUGCUUUUCCAUGUUUGGAAUAGUCUUGUCUAUUUGCUCGGUGAUUACAACUUUUUGAACUGUAUUUAAAUUCUUAUGCUGACACUGGUAUCAUUUUUCAUCAAAUUGUUGAAUAUAUUUUAAACAAUAUGGCAAUUUCAAUUUUCUGAGAUAUAAUGAAACCAAAGUGUUAAUCAUGGCUGUAGACAUCUGGAUAACCUCCUCCUUAGAGAUGAUGGUCGUCUAUUUCAUGUGGAUUUUGCCUUUAUAUUGGGUCGAGAUCCCAAGCCAUUUCCACCGCCUAUGAAGCUUUGCAAAGAAAUGGUCGAGGCCAUGGGUGGAGCAGAAAGGUAUACUGAUUCAUUGUUUAUAACUUGUCACCUUUAUGUAGUAGUACAUAUGCUUUAUAGAGUUGAUGAUAAAAAUGCAGAUUCUUCUUAAUGCAUAUAAUUUGUCAUGGUAUUGUACUGUCAUGAACCUCCUUGCUUAUGCUGAUGAAACCAAAAUUCUUGAUUGCCACAAAUAUAUGGAAUAAAUUUGUUUUGUGCAUUUUCAUUCUGAGAAACUCUGCCAUGUGCAUGCAUAUGCCUGAGCACAAAUCUUGCUUGGACCAGAACAUAUUGUAAAGCAUCAUUUAAUUCGUGACAUGGUCAUUCAAAUUGCUCUCAACUGUUUUAUAUGUUAUGGCAGUUUGCUGCAGUACUAUAAGUGGUUUGAUUGAUUUUGACAUUGCUGAGAUCAUGUGGAUGACUAACAACUACUUUCUCUUAGUCAUGGAAUGCGGUUUCACCUGGACUGGUAUGAAACGGGCAGUAUAUACCAGUCGGGGUAUGAACCAGUAGGCCCCCAUAUUGACGGUCCUGUUUGACCCAUUAAAAAGAGAAAAAAAAAACCAUUAAACAACUACAGGUUUAGGGCUAACUUUCAUGAGCCCUCUUCGCUGUAAAUUGCCUAUCACUACCCAUUGCCGCUGAUUUCGAGAACACUCUCUCCUCUUCUCCUCGUCCUCUUCCUCCUCUUCUUCCUUUUUCUUCUUCUUUGUUCCUCCUUCCUUCUUCCUACGUCACCAUCUAUUCUUUCCUCUACUCCGCCCUCUUUGAACCUUUGGUACAUACCAAUGUACGUAUCGGUUUGGCCAUGGACCAAUAAUGUGGUUGGUACGAGACAGCAGUCCUUGCUCUUAGUAGUGUACAAUGGAUGAGUAUCAAAAAAGCAUGAUUCAUGUAUCUCUAGAUAAUGUUUUCUUGCUCUUAUCUUGUGUAUUUUUUUUGUCUGAAAGUAUUAGACUGAAGAUUAUGAGCAAAAUAUUUGAUGGAAUAGAUAAGAAAACUGAUGGCCCUUAGCACAUGUAAUUAAUGAUUAUCAUGAUAAAAUAAGAUAUUGUGGCUUUUACAAGUUCACCAGUAUUUCAUCUUUUAAUGAUCAAAUAUAUGACACAUCAUAUAGUCACAAAUGGAUGUGCUUCUGCUAUAUGUAGUAUUAUGCAUUGGCAAAACAUAAACCCAGCAUUAAAAGGUGUAACUCCAGUGUGCUUUGCAUCAUUCUGCAUGUUAUAUUAAUGCACUGUCAUGUUAUGAACUGUCAUAUUGAUCAAUGCAUGAAACUACAUGCUAAAAGUUUGCUCAAGUUAUAUCCUAAUUGUUACAAAUUUUUUUGUUGGAUCAGCAUCUUCAUCUAGUUUGCUACAAUUUAGAAGCUAAUAUGCACAUCAUGAUUUAGUUCAUUCCUUCAUUGCAGCCAAUAUUAUACAAGGUUCAAAUCUUAUUGUUGUGAAGCAUACAACAUUUUACGAAAGUCCAGCAACCUUAUAUUGAAUCUCUUUCACCUAAUGGCUGGUUCUAACAUCCCUGACAUAGCUUCUGAUCCUGAAAAGGGGAUUCUCAAGGUACUCCAAUCCUGUUUCAUUGUUUUAAUAUGAGAUCCAAGUCUGAUAGAUGUUAUAUACAUUCAUUAAAUGGUCAUGUUUGUGAUUAGCUUCAAGAGAAGUUUCGAUUGGAUCUGGACGACGAGGACGCCAUCCAUUUUUUCCAGGAUCUCAUAACUGACAGUGUUAGUGCAUUGUUUCCUCAAAUGGUUGAGACCAUUCAUCGUUGGGCUCAAUAUUGGCGGUGACUGAAGUUAUCGAUGGGCAACUAACAUUCUGUGGGCAUGCAGAAACAGAGUUAAGUCAUCGUGUACCUGUCUUGUGCUCUCAUUUUCAUCUUGUUAGUGUGAAUACCUGAUGCACAUUUUUCCUUGUUCCGUAAUAAAUUUCAUGCUACUUUCUGUUGGUUGCAGAUGUUUUUAUUCUUUUUUUGUGAAUAUCACAAUUAUAUCCUUGUACCAUUUUUUACCUAGUUCUAAUUUGUGUUCUAGUAGAUAAUUUUGUUGGACGAGUCUAUGCUUUAGGUGUAACCAGUCAAUGGUUCUUUCUUCUGGUAGAAAUCUUCCUAUUGGGAUCCUUGAGGAAAGCAAACGAAUCCUCCCUCCCUUGCAGAAAGAAAAAAGAAAGGGAAUCAUCUUUUGCUGGCCGUGUGGCAUGUCUACUAUCUUAUGAUUUUGUUGUUUGGUUGUCAGUAAUUACCAUCUCAUUUCAGCAUUUCAAUAACAUUAUGUCGGUGCUUAGCGCUUUGUUAAUCAUCCAUGUAGCACUUUGGACCUGAAAGUUCUUGUUGAUCUUUUGCCAGGUUGGUUUCUGGAGACCCCUGCAACGAGGCUUUUUUUUGUGGUCAGAACAACUCGCUGCCACAACUCAGAUUGUAAAUUAACUAUAUGCUUGUUGGUAUUUUUAUUAUCGGAGAAGAUUGUGGUGUAAAUAUAUACUUGACCAAUCAUGUUCCGAUCUGAAAUAUCUUGUCAGAACAAACUUUGGGAUGAAGCUAAGCCCAGCAUAGUCAUGCGCUGCCAAAAUAGUGAUACAGAGUUAUAUAUGUGCUCACCGUUACACAUUGGUCUCCUGCUAUGCUUCUUUUUGUUUGUGCAAUUUUACUAUCAAUUAAUAUAGUGAAAUGUUGAAGGUUUCAGCCGACAUAAUUAGCUGGUAAAGAUUUUUAUAAUUUAUCGUAAGGCUAUCAGUUCGAAUUUAAUCUUUGUUAUUUACUUUUUGUAAAAAAAAAAUUUGAUGGUAAUCAGUUAAUGACCGUUAUCAAUUUUGUGAUAACGUUAUGAUGUUGCCAUAACGUCAUGACAAUGAUUAAUCCAUGCAAACAAGAAUAUUACGUGAUUUGAACAGUUUCUUACACCGGUAAUAAAUUAGUACAAUCAAGCGUUAAUAUCUGGUUGAAGUUGAUCUCAACAUAAUCGGCAAGGAAGCUGGUAACAUUAAAUUUGUAAUGCAAGAAGGAUUGUAAUAGAAAAAGGAAAGAGGCAGGCCACCACAAGUCCUGAGAUGGGGACGUAUUUCUAAUUGUUCUAGGGAUUAAUUUACCAAACCUUUUGAGAAAAAAGAAAGAUAUUUGCUCUGCUCUUACACACCCCCCUUGUUAUGGCGAAUCCUCAAAGUCUUCACAUGUCUACUUCGAAUUCCACUGGGACUAUUUGGGGGCAUUUCCUCCCUUGUUGAUGCUGUUAAAAGUAUUUUUCUAUAUCGAUCAUCUUCCAGAAGGUUGGACGGUUUCAGUAUUUAUUCCAAGGCGUAGGAAGCCGAUAUAUAUAUAUAUNNNNNNNNNNNNNNNNNNNNAUAUCAAGGAUUGUGCAAGAUGAUAAUUGCCUCAAGUCCUUGCUAAUAGCAUCCUCCUCAUUUGGAUGCUUUUAUUAUACCUAUGGAACAUCAAGGGGUAUGCCAUUUAGAUAAUACUCUUUAUUGCUCAAGAAACCAUUCAUUCUUUCGAUAAUUCUAAGUGCACGAAUCCUUAGGCGAGAAUAUUUCAAUAUAUUCUUGUAGCAGUAGGUGAAAGAAAUCACGUAUAAUGAUUAUGAUGAGGCCAGAGUUGAUGUCCCCAACUGAACUGAUAGAAUAAUACGAAUGCCACUGGAACAAAGAACUUGACAAACCAAUGGCUACCGCGCACCAUCUGACUCUUCUUCCUUCUACUUAAAAACGGGAUAUCAAACAACCGCAUCAAAGCUCGGAAAUAGCAAGCAGUCUACACUGGUCGAGAUAACUUUCCAGGUCUCAACGAGCACACACCACCAUACAAUUAGGUCAAGAAACAAGGUUUGUGUUCACUAACCUGAGCAAUCAUGUGCCUAAAAUGAUCUAUCAGAUGUUAAAAAUACUUGAUAACCCUGCGCGACUGUCCAAGCAUGCAGACGUCAAACACAGACACGUAGGUAAAACAACUCGGUUCCUCAAGUUCACACGCGCAGCACGAGAGAGAGAGAGAGUGAGAGAGAUUGAAAAGUCUCGCCAUGCGAUAUCUUCAGAAUGAAAGCGAAGGACGAGGACAAUUAAUACCAGCGGACGCGUUAAACGGUCCAGUAUGAUCUCGGUGCCUUCGGAUGCCCAAAAGUCUUCCAUGCUCUAUGGGGGCGUCAAAGUCUUCGCCGACGUGUUCACGCGUCUCAGCUGCUGCUCCUCUCAACGCGGAGGCCAAUGCAAGAAACCGUGUCCGGCAGAAGAAUCUCCACCUUGUCUUUGUUACAACGAAGUCUACUGAUGAAAUCGUUUUCGUUGGACACUUCUGCAUCACGAAUUGUUUCUUGUGCGAGUUGGCAAGGAAGUUAACGCCCUCAUGUCUUCAUCCGAUUGGUUCGGUGGAACGUUCAGCAGCCGAUUGAUGGCGGAGUGCGUUAAGGGCUUCUAAUCUGAGAGCCUUUUUUGCAUUGAAGAGGUGUGCUUACCGUGACGGUUAACGGAUCUUCACCGCGUGUGGGUGGGAAACGGAGAGAGGAGAUCAGAAAGAGAGGCCGUGACGGUUGACCGUUGGAAGAAGUGACAUCACGUCAGGAGUUAAUUACAAGCCUUCUUCUUCUUCGCACGGAGCAAACUCGUUUCCCUUAACUUCGGAGUUGUUUCCUGGUACCUUCCUCUGUUCCACUGUCUCUUUGAUUCCACACGUCCCCGUUGCGGCUGUUCCCAAUAAGUUGAUGGCCACCCUCCCCCCCCACCCCCCGCCAUCGACCUACGAAUUCCUCGGUUGCUCCUCACGACUUCUUCCUCUAAACCUUAGCUCUUCCACGGCCGACUCUGUUCCUUCCCUCCAUCGAGAAAGCACCAGCAAUGGCAGCUAAGAGGCUUCGUGAUGACCCUGACAAAGAGUCUGAACCAUCGGAGGAGAAACAGAUGCGACGCCUGCCUUCAUUCUCGACGUUAGUAGUCUCAAGAGCCUUCCUCCGCUCACCAUUCUUAUCACUUUUGCUUAAUGGUUCUUUGACAUGAAAGAGCCUUCCUCUGAUUUUAAUUUGUGCGCAAGCUUUUGCCUAUGAUGAUAUCCUCCAUCUUCCGCAAAGAAGUCCUCAAAAAGGCAUCUUGUGGCAUCGAUUGAUGGUUACCAUCUUCUUCCUCUUAACAUUGACAGGGUCAUCAAAGAGGCGAUGAUGGCGAAAUCCCUGAACAACUUCUUCUUCGCAUUGGAGCCGCUGCUUCGCAGAGUGGUAAGUUGAAAUCUCUCUAAUUUCAUGCAAGCGAUUUUUAAUUAAUCCUCGAUGAACAGUUGAAAGAUUUCUCGCAGCAGUGCAUCAAUGAUUGUUCAUGACAAAGAAACAGAGGAUUAAAUGAUUUGUUUUGGUCUUCUGAUGCGAAAUAGGUGAAAGAGGAGGUGGAGCGAGGAGUAAUCCACAGCAUGCGCUCGUUUCAGAGGUAAAAGAAUCAACUGGCCUUUGACCCAAGAUCUGAUCUUUGUUCAUGGCGAGACCGAUCAAAGACAAUAACAUUGACUCCCUCCUCAGGUCCACCCCAAUGCAAAUCGAAGCAGCAGCAGAAUCAUCAAGCUUCAAGCUUACCUUCAACAAGCAGCUGUCACUUCCCAUAUUCACCGGCAGCAAAAUAGAUGACAUCGAGAGUAAGCCGCUCCAGAUCGUCGUCGUAGAUGUGCACACCGGCGAGGUCCCUUUGUCCACUCUGUCAUCCCCUCUCAAGGUAGAAGUAGUAGUCUUGGACGGAGAUUUCCCUUCGGGGGAUCAGGAGGACUGGACUGGCGCCGAGUUCCAGAACAACAUCGUGAAGGAAAGGACGGGGAAGAGGCCACUGCUCACAGGAGACGUCAACGUCACAUUGAGAGAUGGCGCUGCUUCCAUCUCCGACCUCUGCUUCACUGACAAUUCUAGUUGGAUAAGGAGUCGACACUUCAGGAUCGGUGCCAGAGUCGUUCCCGGGAGCCACAACGCGCCAAGAAUCAGAGAAGCCAUCACCGAGCCCUUCAUGGUCAAAGAUCACAGAGGAGAACGUGAGUAUGAAAUCCUUGAUCUUGCUGCUUUUGCACCAUCAACUCAGCUCCCAAUGGAGGCUAACUAAAGGAACCAUCGCAACCCAGUAUACAAGAAGCAUUACCCACCAGCUCUCGGCGAUGAGGUAUGGCGACUGGAGAGGAUUGGGAAGGACGGAGCGUUCCACAAAAAGCUGUCGGCUGUUAACAUCAACACGGUCCAAGACUUCCUGAAGCUGCUGGCCGUCGACCCUCAUCGCCUUCGCAGCGUACGAACUCGGCCUCAUUCCUCAUCGCGCCAAGUGCUUUUCAGUCUUACUGACGCUUCUGCUCUCAUGGAUCAGAUACUGGGCGUGGGGAUGUCGGACCGGAUGUGGGAGGGAACGGUCGCUCACGCCAAGACAUGCGAGGUGGGCGACAAGCGUUACGUCCACCGAGCCCCGCAGUGUAGCCUUGUCUUCAACGCCGUGUGCGAAGUCGUGGAGAUCAUCUCCGACGACAUGACACUAACAUUGCAGAGCCUAAGCAAACCUCAGAGAGUAAGUACUGCACUCCAGCGAUAGCUCUUUGCCUAUACUCUCUGCAGUUCAUCAUCUUUGACAGUCUGCCUCAACUAUCUUGCAGGCCUAUGUGAACCUUCUGGUUCGCGAAGCACAUCAGAACUGGGAUAGUUUGGAAGAUGCUGAUGCAUUCUUCGACCAGAGCAUUGUUGCAGCGAGUGAGUACAUCAAAUUGCUAGUUUUCAGCAUAGGUUGAAUUACUUGUGGGGGUUUCUGAAUCAAUUUAGCUUAUCGACAGAUGUGCAGAUGCAGCAAAGUGAGAUAGAGCCAUUUCCCUGGCAUGAAGUUGAAGAGAAUGCAAUAGAGUAUCAGCUGGAAGACUAUGAAAUCCCUGAUCCUGCUCAGCCUUCCUUUUGAGUAACACAAUAGGGUGUGAGCUGUGAUAUGUUGUUUUAUUAGGCACAAAUCAUCUGCCCUGAUUGCUUGUUUUGUGAACAUAGGAAAAUAAGCAAGCAGACACGAGGCUAUUCUUUUGUUCAUCAUCUUACUUUCUGUGUUACUUUGUCUUGGAAGAUUAGUUUGGGAGAGGAAGAUGGAGUAGAAUGAUGUCCUUUGCAAGCAUUUGGACACCCACUCCAUCCCAUAUGUCGAGUCCAAUUGUAAUUUGUUUCUGUGUUUUCCAUCAUCCUGUUGAAGGAAUAUUAGAAAGCUCUUGACAUGCUUCCUGGUGUUGCCAAACAUAUACAGAAAUUGCCAAAACAGAGUCACAUCAACCACCAUUUUCUUGAUCAAUCAAUCAAUCAAAGCUUUCUUGAUUGUACCAAAAGAAGGCUGUCAGGAGUUUUGUGGAAGACAAAAUGCCAUGGAAAGAGUUCAAACUCUGUAAAUGGUGAAGGUUUUACAAGUUGCAUGCUGACCGCACAGGAGUCUCUUUCAAAUAAUGUAGUUUGAAACAUCAUAAUUAUGAUUCUAAUGACCAAUGAAACUACUAGAUGAUCAAAUUUGAGAUAUACAUACAGUAGUACUCUGGGGACCUUACAAAUUUAUUUGAAUUAUUGUUGUGCACAUCACCUCAUUUGGUUUUAGGAAAAAAUGGAAAUGAUUCAUGAACAACAUUAUUUGAAAGAAUUAGGUAAUCAAUACAAAUGGAGCCGGUCAUAAUGAAGAAAUAACAAGCAACCAAGCAGGAACAUAAACAUAAGAGUUAUGAAGAUCAAUAUAUCUGGUCGCUUGAGGUGACCAUGUGAAGAUUGUCACUUGGAAUUCUCAUAACAAAAUGAUUUAAUCAAUACAAAUGUUCCUUUUCUAUGAAGUAGACAAAAAGUACAACAAUUAUGCUAACGUGGCAAAAGAAUACAACCAAAAUCAAUUGUUAUCUUAAGCAUUUCUGCUUAUUAGUUUUCUUGACUUUUCACUCCUAUUGUAGAGCCACCGAUCCAGGUCAAGGUGAAAGGGAAUUAUUAGUCAGUGUCCUGCGGCAAGUGUUCUCUUUGUCAACUAGAUCUCUGGUGCUUCAAACUAGUCUCUUCAUUUUCUGACUUCCAGCAUCUGGGAUUAUUUCUGGAUGGCUUUCUUCAGAAGGAACAAAUUGAUGCAAAAAUCUUUGAAUCAUCUCAUAACUGGUGAAUGUGAUAACAGCUGCUGGGGUGGUUCGUAACAAAUUUGUGCCACAGCCACGGUAAAAUCCAGAUAUGCCAUCCUUCCGGAAGACCUUCUUAACACAGUCCACGACACCAGCAUAUUGAGUUAGAGAGUUGCGAGCAUGUCCUUGUUCUUGCAGUUUGGACCGCACAACCUGAAGAAAGAAUAUGCCACAUGAUUCAGAAAAAAAGGAAAGAGAAAGAAGGCAUCUUGGUCAUGGUAGCUUUAAAACAGAACAUCAUGUCAAGAAGAAUGAAAAUCCAGUUCAUUAUAUGAGGGCAACUUUGACAAUGUCAAGGCAUCACAGUGUUUCUUGUGUAUGUCACGGUGGGGAAGUAGACAGACUGGAAUAGUCCAAUCUUCUUAUAAAAUCAAUGAAAAUCCAGCUCAAAAAGUGGCAGUGCUUCAUGUACAGUUCUCUUAAGAUCUUUUUUCACUUUUUCCCUCUAGUUUUUUGGAAUUAAAUAGAUUUUCUAGAUCUGAAUUCUGCAUCUGCCAAAAUAAAGUGAAAAUGUCAAAGAAAUAAUGAUGGAAGGAGGAGCACCUCAUGAGGGUAGGUCAUUGUGGAGGCAAGCACUUUUGAGAGCGAAGAAGCAAUAGCCACACUACCAGCACUGAGCUUAUCCACCGUGGUGUUAUCUGAAAACAAUUAAGAUUAGAGCACCAUGUAAUGAAGAAGAAUAACUAUCAGGUAGAUAUUAUUACCUUUGUUUGCUAAGUGCAAUUUGAUAUUUUCAUAUACUGGAAACUGGAUUGCAACAUGGCUAAUACCAGCUAGAGCUGGAAGAAGACCACUGUUAACCACAUGAAAUCAGUCACCAAGAACAUGACAAUUAAGAUCCCAACAGAAAAGAAAAAUCAUGAAUUAGUUGUACAUGGAGAGAAUUGACUCACCUAUAAAACCCUCGGAUGCCUUCUUCGUAUGAAAUCCUUCUCAAUGCAGACAUUACACUCUUGUAAGGAACUACUCCAGGUCUGAUCCUCUGAGUCUAGCACCAGACAAAAGAAACAUCAAGCAUUGCGGAGCUGCUAGUUGAACCGAAAAUAUUAGAAGUCUAGAAGAGCUAAACUCGGAAAACACUACCACAGUCAAUUAAUCUAGAUGGCUUAAACCCCCUAUGCAAGUGUUUGGCAUCAUUAAGUACAAAGCUUCACAAGAGAAAGAUCAUCAAAAUAAUGGUAAGACAAGUUUGUGUAUGAAACAUACUCACAAAUAAAGUUCUAUCUGAUACUUUUCUUCUCAUUAAAUUUAACAAAUUAAAGCUUCUUGGACUAAAAUUGGCAUGAAGUUGGCUAAGAUGAGAAGGGGAUAAGAGAAUGUACUUGAAGUCUGGUCUUAACAACCCACAGAGGAUUGGUCACAACUGCCGUUGCAGCCCCUGCACCUGAGGCAGCAAGAACAUUUGCUCCAACCGAAAGUUGAUUGUCUACCUUAGUUGCAUCUGAAAUUCUAGUCCAUGUUAGUCUUGCAUGGCAUGGAAAGUUUUGACGAUGAAAAUGACUAUAGCAGAAAAACCAUACUGUAUCUCUAAGAACCCAGAAUUACAACCAAAGGAAAUGGUGGAAAGAAAAUCUUAAACGAACCAUGUGAAUGAAGUAGCCCUUUAAGCUUAUCAUAAACUGUAAAGUACACCUGGAAAAGAAGUUAAAGUGAUAUCAGAACAAAAUAACUGAAACAACAUUAUCUAAAUAAAUCACUUCAUCUAUGAUGAAGAUAACAAUAAAGCCUAGCUGAAGCCACACAAAUCAAAGCUAUUAUCCGUGGAUUUUAUUUUUCAGAAGUUUGAGAUGUAUAAACAAAACGAAGAGGAACUGGAAGCAAGAUUAAACACUUACUGCCCAAUUUGGAAGUAGCGCUAAAAUUGUCGGAGAAAGGCCAUGAUACAUUCCUUUAAAUCCUUCUUUCCUAAUUAUUUGUUCUAAGCUUGAAAUGAUAAGACUUCCUAAUUAUAAAAAAAAAUCAAACACUUCAAAAUCUUAACCAGUAAUGAACUUGAUGGAUGCAAGGAUGAUAUAAUUCAAAUAGUAGUAAAUGAUAAUCUAUUGCAAGCCUCAACCAGAACAAUGAAACACAUACUGGUGGAGAACAUAUUAAAACUAGUGAAAAGAUCAUCUACUAUCAAAAUUCAACUGGAAAAUAGCAUGAUCAUGAAGAAAACCAUUAUGAAAACAAGAAUAGAAAGCAUAUUUUGAUAAGCUCCCUAGACAGGUCACUAACAUACAGCUGUGGUAUGACAACCUACACUGGUCUUAUACAAAGUCCACAAGCAACUUAAUCAGCAAAACUGCAUCUGAUCUAUAUGUUAUGAUAUUUAUUAAUCGUGCUAAUAUUUUAUGUUAGAGGGUAAUGAUCCUACUAUACUGUACAUAACCAUCAUUGUCUUGGACCACAAAGCUUACAUAAUAGGAAACUGACAUCGAUUGCCAUGAUUUACUAUACAUCAAUUUGAAGUCGUCAAACCUAAUUCAUGCUUUGAUCACCAUGUGAAAAGUUAGCAACAAAGCCUACUGCAAAGCUGUGUUAGUUAAUGUUCACCCAACAUUUUGCCAGGCUACAAUUAGUUGCAAUAAUCCCUCGUCCAUAUUACCAAUCUAGGAAAUUGCUUCGACCAUAACUAGCUAAAAUUAUCUUAGCAAGAUUCUAACUUUAGAUCGAAAACCACUUAAUUCACAAGAGAAUGGUAGUGACAGUGAGUAAAAAAGAAAAAAAAUCAGAAGAGCAUACCCCGCCGCGAAGAUUGUGGAAGAUUGGGCAAUCCAUGCACUUGAAGCCUCGUCUUUACCACGUCCAGCGGGCACACAAACGUCGCUGCAAUGAUCCCUGCAACCAUUCUUCGUCUUUAUUAGAACAGACAAAUUAAGAAGCCGAUUCUCAAAUCCUGACAGACAAAAAAGGAAAAACCUCAAACCCCUAAUUCAAAAGGAAAUUUUCGAUUUUUUUUUAUUAUCAUACUCAAAUGAACUCCAAUUUGUAAAUCCAAAAGAAUAAAUUUUACCACUCUAAUAAACUCCAAGUAGAGAAUGAGGGGGGAGAGGGAAGAUCUCAUGGGAAAGAAGGGAAGAAAGGGAAAAACUGACCGGCGGACGCCCCAGCGCAUGCAUUGCAGAGGAGAUCGCGAAGGGACGGCCCGUGGAGAUCACCCGGCAUGACGCUGAGAUCUUCAGCUAAACAACCGGCAGCAGAUUCGAUCUUUCGGGUUCCAAACCACAGAGCUCUUAAUCGAGAAGUGCUAUAUGGUGGGCACGGAUCAAAUUAAGAGGAGAAGGGCGCCAUGGUAGCCUUCGAGGAAGAGGAGGCGAAACGGAGGGGUUCGUUCGAGCAAAAAUUUCCGGAAGACGGAGGAGGCAAAGCGAGACGAAGGAAAGAAGAAAGACUGAAUCGACCGCUGCCGCUGACAACAGUUUGUUUCUUGUUCUUCGAAUUGCUAAUCACCGGCUACCGGGUGGUAUAUUUAUACCUCGAUAUUUCUAUUUUCAUUCAGCGAUAUAUUUCUAAAAACAUUUUUGACCCUCAAAAAACAUUUUUUUUCUAUUUUCUUCCACUCUUUCUUCUAUAAUUAUGGUUGCGUUCACAUAUUAUAAAUAUUAUUAUAUUCUUUUUCGGUGACUUGACCUCACCAUCAUUUCCUGCAGAAGGGAUCAUUUGCGUGUUGGAACGGCCACAAUUCAGCAUCAAUUGGAUUGGUCCGUGGAGCACGUUGAAGACCCAAAUGUUGGAUCGUUCGCUGGUGAUUCGCUUGGAAGAACGUUGAUUCGUAAUUGACCAACUAGUAAAGGAUUGGUCAUCAAGAUGUUUAUACGAAUGUUGAAGUCCAGAUGGAUUCUCCAGAUUUUUCUGGACCUAAAUAUACGGAACUCAUACUUGCGUGUACGUCCACAUCAUGUGUGUAUGUGGAAGAUCACAUUGUCCACGACAAACUCUUGAGGAGAUCCAAUUAUUUAUAAUUAGCAUUCAUUAGUGAAGGCAUCUAAUAGCAGAAAUAAAAUACACAUCAAAGCAUACGUAGAACACGUUAAGAUUUGUAAUUCCAAAAGCACUUUUGUACAUUCUCACCACGCACAAACCAAUAUUUACGUGCAAAUUACACCACAAAAGUCACUCGAAGUUGCACCCAAAUCAGAGAGGCCAAAAGCUGCAGCAAACGACGUCCUUCUCUUUGCCCCUCUUCUUGCUCGCUGCUCCGCCUGUGAUCUCAACGGACCUUGCCUCGGGCUUCUUCAUCUGCCGCUUGGGCACUAUCAAGGUGAGCACCCCGUUCUCAAUGGAGGCCUUCAUCUCAUCGGCCUUCGCAUCCUCCGGCAGCCGAAACCGCCUGUAGAACCUGCCGCGGCUCCUCUCCGAGCAGUGCCACUCGCACUUCUCCUUGUCAUCGAUCGGAUCCCCGCUUCGCUCGCCGCUUAUGGAGAGGACUCUGCCGUCCUCCACCUCCACCUUCACGUCCCCCUUUCUGACCCCCGGGAGGUCGGCCUUGAAGACAUGCGCCUCCGGGGUCUCCUUCCAGUCCAUGCGGGUGUCGUCUGCGCCGGAGUCAUCCGAGGGAAAGCCACGGAGUGCAUCGAAGAUGUUGCUGUGACGACCCAACAACAUGUUGUGGACGAGAGACAUAUUAGAUGCUGCUGCUGCUUCUGCUUCUUGAAGCUGAGACAUGUAGCAAACUCUGGUGUCCAAAGUGACGGUGGCAGUGUAUUUAUAACUGGUUGCUUCCAGCGUGGUAUAUCUAUUCCACUAAUAAACGAGCCAUUGGUGCUCCGGGCGUUUCCAGAAGCCUCUACGUAGUUUUGGUGGGACCAGAUAGACCAAGUAAGAUAAUUCUUUGGAUGAAAUCUUGAUCGUCGAAAUAAUUAUUUAUUAAUAUUAUUGUGAUUUGAUUGAAAUCAAUCAAUUCCAAACCAAUUAUUUUAAUUUUAAAUCAAUUAAAUAUAAUAAAAAAACAACACCUCAAACAUUAUACCUUAGGAGGUUAAAUCUUUGUCUAAAAUCAAUUAACUUGGAUUUGAAUCUUCAAAUAACCAUUUAAUUUGAUUAAAUUUUUUUAUAAUUUUAUUUUUAUAUCAUUUUUAAGUCAUUACACUCGUCAUAAUUAUAUGCCUAUUCUUUAAAAUUAUAAUUUUUUUAUAUUUAAAAUUAAUUUUAAUUAAAAAAAACAAUUCUAAUCAAAAUCGAAACCGUUCGAACCGAUCCUAAUGGUUGAUGAUGACACAUCAGACGGCUUAAAACAAAAUAAACAAUAGAACAGAAGUGAAAUAUACUGGAAGACGAUGGAAGACCUGAGCACCUUCGAGAGCCCCGCUGACGACAUGGCCUCGACAAAAGCAGCAUCGAGCACAGUCUGGAGCCUUCAGGACCCAUCCGUCCGAGCCUAUAAAUGCUCAUCGUACUUACUCAACUCACCAAGAACAAGGAAAAGAAAUCCACAGCUUAGCAACGCAUCCUACGCUACCACCAGAAAUCCUUCAAAGGCAUUUGCAACCAUGUCGAUCGUGAGGCGCAGCAACGUCUUUGAUCCCUUCUCUCUCGACGUUUUCGACCCCUUCCAGGGCUUCCCCUUCGACGCCUUUCGCUCCCUGAGCGAGACGCGCCCCGGCUUCGCGAGCGAAACCUCCGCCUUCGCCAACACCCGCAUCGACUGGAAGGAGACGCCCGAUGCCCACGUCUUCAAGGCCGACCUCCCCGGGGUGAACAAGGAGGAGGUGAAAGUGGAGGUGGAGGAAGGCAGGGUCCUUCAGAUCAGCGGCGAGCGGAACAAGGAGCAGGAGGAGAAGAACGACAAGUGGCACCGCGUGGAGAGGAGCAGCGGCAAGUUCCUCAGGAGGUUCCGGCUGCCGGAGAACGCCAAGGUUGACCAGGUCAAGGCCUCCAUGGAGAACGGCGUCCUCACUGUGACUGUCCCCAAGGAGGACGUUAAGAAGCCCGACGUGAAGUCCAUCGAGAUCUGCGGCUGAGCUCUGAUGCAUGUCGGAGAAAUCGAUAGCUGAGCUUGCGACCUAUCCAAAUAAGUCUCUGUGGCAGUCGAGUGAGUGUGUCCGUCCUAUGUCUAAGUGUGCUAUUUGGUUUGUGUCUUUCCGUGUCUAAGGAGUCGGUCGACUUCGGGAACUCUGCGUUGCUCUCGCGGUAAUAACGUUUGUCAUGGAAGUAUUCCUUAAUUAAAUAUAAGUCGGUCUACUUCAUCCGUUUCAUAUGUUUCUUCUUCGGGAACUCUGCCUUGCUCUCGCAGUGAUAACGUUUGUAAUGGAAGUAUUCCUUAAAUAUAAGUCGUUUCGUAUGUUUCGACACGAAGAGCAAGUAGUCACCAAAAUGAACAGAUAAGAAUACCAACUGGCAGACAAAAACCACAUGAUAUCAUCAUUCUGCCUACUUUAAGUCCCUACGUCAACCCGCCACGUGCACAAUCCACGAGAAACGUGACCCUGCAAGCUUAUCUUCUUCCAUUGUGGGUAAGAGGUGACGCACCGCCCGUUUUCCUCUGUCCCGAACCCUUUUAUCAUAUAUUCAAAGGGCCGUUGCGAAGUCCGGGACCCUCUCUUUCCGCGGCGAUCGGGUUCCGAUCAUCGGUGAAUUUUUCCCGAUCUACUGUUGCCUUCGUGACGCGCUACUCGUGUGGGUCGUCUCCUCCACAGGAUGGGCGAUCCAUCCAGUGGCUUCCCCGUUUGAUCUGAUGCUGACACGUUUCUUUUCAUCCACGUGGUGUUUACUCGUCCGUCGUCAUCCUCCCGUGCUGUCCCAUUACGCGCAUUCCCCAACUGCUCACAUGUCUCAGAGGAUCAUCAUAUAAAAAGAAUACCGCGUCCUGCCCCUAAUCUCGCUUAUCAUACCCAUGUUACCCUGGGCCCUUUGCUACCUUCUUAUUGAUUGGAACACAUGGUAAGGGCCACAAUACUCCCUCCAAUUAUAGAUGGGUGGCUCGAGGGGAAACGCUGGAGUGGCAGUCAAAGAAAUACUUGCUUUAAUUCCUUCCUUUUAAUUCUCUUUCCCUUCGCCAGUUCUUUCGUUCUUCUUUCCGUCUCCUCUGCGUCACUCGAAUUCCUUUCCAUCAAGGCACUCUCUUCACCUAUUUACGAUCUCGUUUCUCUCUUGCAUCUUUUACUUUGGAUACGAUUGUGCUUUCCUUUGGAUUCUUUAGGGUUGAUUGCAUCCAGAGUCCCCCCCGUUUUUCAUCCCUCUGGAUUGGGAAUUUAGGAUUCUUGGGCCGGGACGUAGGGCUCCUUCUUGUAGUUAUUGGAGUUUGGUGGAAAUGUUGGGGAGUCGCGUGCAGUUGGGACGCGGGCAUGGGGAGGAUCGCGUUUGCUACGCCGAUAAGGCCCGGUGGAGCCGCCACAGCCACCAACGGCACUACCAGCAGAGUCCAUGGAGGUCUUCAAGCACCUCCGCCGCCGGAACUUACCCCGCCCCUUCCUUUGCUUCUGGGAGCUCCGCAGAGGCUGUUGUGUCGGUCUCCGGCACCCGUGAGCAAGAGAACCGAGCAGGAACAGAGAAAGAUACUCCGAAGACCGGGAUCGCGUCCGUUUCAUCUUGGGGUCCUUCUGUUGCUCAUUCUUGUAACUUGAAACGAUUCUUGGAGUCCAUAACUCCGUCCGUCCCGGCGUUGUACCCUUCCAAGGUUUAGAAAUUUUCCUCCUUUCGGUUGUUGUCGCUUUGGGAUUCUUGGAGAUUGACUGACUUUGAUUGGCUUGCAGAUGGAGAAGAGGGGAUGGAGGGCUUCUGACCAGGAGUGCCGGCCGUACUUUGCGCUGGCGGAUCUCUGGGUCUCGUUCACGGAGUGGAGCGCGUAUGGUGCUGGCGUUCCGCUGGUUCUGAGCGGAGCGGGCAGCGUGAUCCAGUACUACGUGCCUUACUUGUCUGGAAUCCAGUUAUAUGGUGAAUCGAACAGGCCCUUUUCUGAUUCUAGGUAUUAGUGUUUGCCGGAUGCUUUCUUUCUAAUAUAUCUCGGUCCACAGAAUUUGACAUGAACGACUAAUUUGUUUCUUUGUAUAUUUUCUUACUACAGCUUUUGUUUGCCACCCUAAAGUUCUGAAUGUUCCUUGAUGCAUUGCUUCCUUGAUACGUCUACGAUGGCUAUCGUGUCGUAAUGUUCUUAGCUUAUAAAAACUCCUUUUACUUUUCUCGGUGGUAUAUUUUGCCUUGUUUGUAUCAUCUGUCAUAAAAGCGUAGGAUUUGUUGAACAUAAAUGGUUUCAAUAAGAACCAAUUGUCAGUUUAUCUUUGCUUACCUCUAUCUCAAUGGUUCCGAAUAAUAAUUUCUUUGGAUCGGUUUAGCAUCAAACCUGAUGAGGGCAAUUAUGGCGAUUGGACUCGGGUGACAUCAACACCCCCGGAUGACGCCCCCCCGCCUCAGUCGACUUGACAGCACCUGGCUAAAACAGACCGGAACGCCAGCAGAGGCACAUUAACUUCUUGCACAAGCUCGAUACCUCACGCCACGCCUACACCGGUGUCAGACGCUACCAGGAGUACGAUCCUGCUCCCCUCGAGCAGGCACCUCAGACAGGUAACAUUCGUUAUAAGAACCCUCUCGUCGAGGAGAAAAGGGAGAGGAAAAUUCCUCCACUACCAUUGACUGACAUGAUCGUCGGAGGGGUCGGGCCGAGACCCCUGACCCGACCUGUCUGCAGGUGCGAAGACGGAGCAACCCCGCUAGACGGCCAUCCCGGGAAAGACAAUCGUCCCGUCGCCGACCGCGCGUAACAGAUCCAUCCAACUCGACGGACUCCCAGGCCUCGCCGGAAGAUCCCCUCGCAUUCCGACCCGAACCAAGCCGUGCCGACCCUGAGGCCCGGCUUAAAGUUGUUGACACCAACAUUUUGGCGCUAGAAGGAGGGUCGAAUGUCGAGUGAGCGGCAGGUCGACUUGGAUGAAUCGACGGCUGAAGGGUCGUACCCGAGAGAGGCUCCAGGGGAACACCCCUCGUAGGGUGAACCUAGAGAUGAACACCCCGCCGCAACCUCCGAACGUUACUGGCGGUUAUUCAACGACCCGGGCUUAUCACCACCCGAGGGUCCCCUGGCCGACCCGUCGCCCGUAUCGUCGGAGGCUUUUCAGGAUCUCGCUCUUCAAGUUCGAGCGCAGACGGGUAUGGUGCAAACCCUCAUCUUACUCGUCGCUCGUCCGGAGCGCACGCUUGCGAUCCAACCACUGCGGCAACAGGACCCGCUAGCCCAGGCUCACGCGCCGCCUCCCGAGGUACCAACCUCCCCUCGGGUCGGGCCGACCCCGCCCGGGGAUUGAAUGACAACACUCCCGAGGGGCCGCCCGGAACCCGAGGUAUUAUCCUCGGACUCGACAGACUCCCUGCGAGCCCAAGUGUGUUUCGUCAGUCGGCGGCUCGACGAAGUUCAGCAGGAGGUUCGCAGGUCAAAAGGGGAGCUCGGCGAGGAGGCGCACCGGGGGUCCCCGUUUGUACCCGAGAUACAGGAUCAAACGAUCCCCCCGAACUUCCGGCUCCCCUCUCUUGAUGCGUACGACGGCUCCACCGACCCGGCGGACAACGUAGCGACUUUCCGCGCCCAAAUGGCACUAUAUGGGACCUCUGAUGCCUUGAUGUGCAGGGCGUUUCCCACAACUUUGCGAGGGUCCGCUCGCGUGUGGUACAGCGGCCUUAAGACUGGGACGAUCACCUCCUUUGAUCAACUCGUCAGAGAUUUUGAGUCCAACUUCCUAGCUUACGCCUGGCCGAAGCCCUCCGUCGCUCUGCUCCUCGGGCUCAACCAGAGGGAGGACGAGCCCCUCUCGCACUUUGUGAAUCGUUUUGCUACGCAAAUCUGGGGGUUGCCGGACGCUCACCCCUCUCUAUUGAUACAGGUGUUUAUGGUAGGCUUGCGACCCUCCAGGUUUUUCUGGUCACUAGUAGAACGACCCCCCGCUGCGGUCCCGGAGAUGCUCCAGCGGGCGAGCCAGUUCAUGGCGGCAAAGACCUGGAUGGUCGGGAAGCGGGACUAGCACAAGAGGGUCAGAUCAGAGCCGUCCCGCGGACAACAGUCCGCCGCACCAAGGCGCAGAUUGGACCGUCCUGACCUAUCGUCAUUGAUGUCUCAAUUCCCUCUUUGGGUGCGUCCCGGACGGAUAUAUUUCUUCAGAUUAGAGACAAAGGGUUACUCAGGACUCCCAACCCGAUGAAAAAUCCGUGGGAACUAGCGGAUCGGUCGAAGUAUUGUCGUUUUCAUCGGCAAACCAGGCACGACACUGAGGAGUGUCGGGAGUUGAAGCGGCAGAUCGAGGAGCUCAUCCGCAAAGGGCAUCUCGGUCGACACCCCCAGCAAGACAAGGAGCUCUCCCCCCGCCCUGAAGGACCCGUCGAGCGUCAGAUCGAUGUGAUCAUUGGGAACCCUACCAAGAUCAAAGACGGUGAUGCCCACCUUCCUGGUAGUCGACCUCCCCACUGCAUAUAACGCCAUCCUUGGUCGACCAACCCUCAACAAGGUCAGGGCCGUCAUCUUCACUUAUCACCAAACGGUCAAAUUCCCGAUCCGCGCCGGAGCUGGGGAAGUCAGGGGAAGCCCCCGGGAGUUCAGGCAGUGCUACCUGACGGCGGUCUCGCUUCACAAACGAGCGCGGACCGAGCAACCCCCGGGGGACCCUAGGGAAAUGAAGAAGCCAGCCCCACACCCUGAACCAACGACGCCUACUUGUGACGUGCCACAGAUGAAGGGCCGGCCGGAUCGGACGAUCCGGAUUGGGUCGGAACUCCCCGAACAGGAACGGGAACAGCUCGUCGGCUUCCUACAGGGAAACGCCGACGUCUACGCCUGGUCGCCCUCCGACAUGACGGGCGUCGACCCGAAGACCGCUCAACACUACCUGAACAUAGCGCCCGAUAGACAACUGGCUAUCCGAGAAGAGGUGGAGUGACUUUUGGCAGCAGAGUUCGUGGAAGAAGUCAAGUACCCUCAAUGGCUGUCCAAUGUAGUCCUCGUAAAGAAAUCUAAUGGGAGCUGGAGGAUGUGUGUUGACUACACCAGUCUUAAUCGCGCGUACCCGAAGGACUGUUACCCCCUCACAAGGAUCGACCAAUUAGUCGACGCGACCGUCGGGCAUGCGCGCCUUUCGUUCAUGGACGCCUUCUCUGACUACAACCAAAUCAGAAUGGCACCCGACGACCAGGAGCACACGGCCUUCCUCACUGAUCGGGGAGCGUAUUUCUACAAGGUCAUGUCAUUUGGGCCAAAGAACGCAGGAGCUACAUAUCAGAGGGUCGUAAACAAGAUGUUCGCCCGGCAGAUCAGGCGAAACGUUGAAGUCUACGUCGACGAUAUGAUCGUGAAGAGCCGCGCGACGGUAAACUACCUGACGGAUUUGGCUGAAACAUUCACUGCCUUACGGAGACACGGCCUGCGGCUCAACCCUGUGAAGUGUGCCUUUGGCGUCGGCUCAGGAAAAUUCCUCGGAUUCCUCAUCCACGAGAGGGGAAUCGACGCUAACCCGGAAAAGGUUCAGGCGAUCAUCAGCAUACAAACCCCCCGGACAAUAAAGGAUAUACAACGGCUCAACGGGAGGCUUGCUGCCCUAUCUCGGUUCCUGUCUCGGUCUGGUGAUCGUUGCCUACCCUUCUUCCGGGCCUUGAAAAACCCGAGGAGCUUUCAAUGGACGGAGGAAUGCGAGAAGGCCUUCAUACAUGUAAAGCAGCACCCCGCCAGCCUCCCUCGCCUCCCCUCAGUUUCUCCCGGGGAGAAGCUUAGUGUCUAUCUGGCCGCCUCCCGGAACGCAGUUAGCUCCGUCCUGAUUAAAGACGCCACCGGUGGGCAACUACCGGUCUACUACGUCAGCCAUGUCCUGAACGGACUGUUAGAACCCUUGCAGAUUCUAAACUUGGGAUUGAUCUCUUUAGGGGAUCGGCCUUCUUGGAACUCUAUAGGAGUUCCUCCCUCCAAGUUGCUGCUCAAAGGCUGCAGAAAAGAUUCAUCUAUUGCUUAUGAAAAAAGGAGGAAUACAUGGCUAUUUAUAGGGUUUCUAAACCCUAACUCCUAAUAGGACUCCUACUAAAGACUCUUAUUCUUUUACAACUCCUAAUUCUUCUCUAAGAAACAACCUCCUAACUUUAGCCGGCCUCUUCACCUCUUUAAUAGGGGUCGGCUUAGGUAGGUUUUACAUGAAUGUCCCUCUCAAUUAGGACUCUCCUAGCUAGAGUCCUAACAAACCCACCCUCUUCAAAUCAGCCUUGUCCUCGAGGCUGACGAUUCAUGAAUUCUGGAAAUUUGAUCUUCAAGUCGUCAUAGUUCUCCUAAGUGGCAUCUUCUGUUGGUAGGUUCGCCCACUGUAUUUGCACUUCAGUAGUGGGUCGUCGUCAUUGAGUCACAAUCCGUCGAUCAAUAAUGGCACUUGGCUGGGUUUGGAGUUCUCCUUGAGUAGUCAUAUUUGGUGGGUGGCUUUGGGCUGUCUCCAAUCACCUAUUUACAACUUCCGUCUGACCAUCGGUUUGUGGGUGAUAUGUCGUACUCCUUUGCAAUUUAGUACCCUUCAUAUGGAAUAACUUUGUCCAAAAUCCGCUCAUGAAGAUGCAAGUAGAAUUUGUCACAAGCACAAUGCGUCCUUUAUAGCGUAAUUCUUUUGAGUCUCAAUUGUAAUGAGCCAUGAAACUUGGUGCUUCCUCCAAUUUUUUCUUUAUCUUAUUGGUCUUCGAAUCUUCCUACCAUUCCAUCUUAAUAUCUUCAAGGAAGUCGUUGGUCAAAAGUGAAACGGCCGAAAUUUCAGCUUGCUCGGAUAGCUACGAAGGCGUAUCUGCAAUAAUAUUCUCUUUCCCCUUUUUGUAAGUUAUUUCAUAAUCAAAUUCAAGAAGUUUUAUUACCCAUUUUUCCUGCUUAGGGGAUGAUAUCUUUUGCUCCAAAAAGUACUUGAGGCUUUUAUGAUCGGUUUUAAUUUGAAAUCGUCGACCGAUCAAGUAGGGUCUCCACCUCGUUGCUGCGUGCACAAUGGCGAGCAUCUCCUUAUCAUAUGUUGAUAUAUUUUGAUGGGAGGGAGACAAUGCCUUGCUAGUGUAUGUGAGUGGUCGACUAUCUUGCAUGAGAAUGGCUCCAAUUCCGACUCCAGAUGCGUCGGCCUCAAUAAUGAAGGGUCGGCUGAAAUAUGGUAGUGCUAGCACCGGCAUCGUCGUCAUGGCUGGCUUAAGUUUGUCGAAGGCGGCGGAGGCUUUGUGGUUGUAGCAUGUUAAACCCAGAAAGCCAUGUAGCAAUUUUAUGUUCCUCGGGGUCGGCCAGUUUUGCAUUGCUUCUAUUUUGGAGGGGUCCAUCAUCACACCUUCCUCUGAUAUGAUAUACCCAAGAUAUUCCACCUUUUGUUGAAGAAAGCAAAAAUUCGUAGUGGUCGUUGUGUAUUCGAAAGGCGGUUUUCGGUAUGCCUUUUUCGCACACUCGUAUUUGAUGAUACCCGGAUCGAAGGUCCAGCUUUGUGAAGAUUUGUGCUCCCUUUCAUCUAGCAAUUCAUCUACUACUAGUAUAGGAUAUUUGUCCUUGACGGUUAUGCCAUUGAGAGCUCGGUAAUCAAAACACAAUCGCCAUGUUCCGUCCUUUCGUACGAGGAGCACCGGUGAAGAGUAGGGGCUGCAACUUGGCUGAAUAACUCCUGUUUCGAGUAUCUCUUUUACAAUCCUUUCUAUUUCAUCCUUCCACAGAUAUGAAUGCUGAUAUGGCUGAGUAUUUGCAGGAGGCUUGCCCAGAAGAAUCGGUAUACAAUGAUCAUGCCGACGAGUAGGAGGUAGGUUGCACUGUUCGUCAAAUAUAUCUGAAAAUUCAGCAAGCAAAGGAAGUAGGUUUGGACUUUUAAAUUCUGUUAGCUUUCCCUUAGUUUGCUGCUCGAGUUGUACCACAAAGCCGCUGCAUGCCUUAUGCAAAACCUUCUCCAUUUGUCGUGUGCAAAUCGUCGUUACAUUGCCCCCAUGUUUCCCGUGCAGUAUCACUUGUUUUCCCUUACUGUAAAAUUUCAUAAUUAGUUUCAUAAAAUUCCAGGAAACAUCACCUAAUGUCAUCAACCAUUUAAUUCUGAGCAUGGCCUUAUUAUCGUCAAGAGGGAGGAGGAAGAAAUCUGCAAUUAUCUCGUGGUCCUGCAGCAACAGUUUCACCUGCGGGCACCUACGAUCACACUUCAAAAUCCACCCGUCGGCAACCUUAAUGUCAAACCUGUUGCAAUUCUCAAUAGGUAAGGCCAUCCGGACAACAACCUUACUAUUUAGGAAGUUAUUAGUACUGCCUGUGUCGAUGAGAACAGUGAUCGAUUGUUGUUUGAGAAGGCCUCCAACUUUCAUCGUUUGCGGGUUUGAGUAGCCGGCUAGCGCGUGUACUGUAACGUCGGUCAGUUGUGGCUCUUCUUCCGCAUCUUCUUCUUUAUGUUCAAUGCUCUCUUCUGAAUAUUCAAUGACGUCUUCUUCUACUGGCUCAAUCGUAAGAAGUCUCCCUUUUCUACAGCGAUGCUCGUGGCUCCACGGCUCGUCGCAGUGCCAACGUAAUCCCUUCACAUAUCGCUCUCGAAGCUCUUCUCUUGUCAACCUUUUUGGUGCAGGGACUCGGUCGAUAGUAGGGGGGGCUGAGGGCUUCAAUAUUCUUGGUCGAUGAGCAACCCUAGUCCUCCGGGCUUCAUGGUUCAAUCGCUCCUCUUGAAAUCGUGCGAAAGAGAUGGCUGCCAUAAGCGUGUAUGGUUGUCGCGCUUUAACUUCUCCCCGAAUCUCUGGCUUUAAGCCCUCCAUGAGUGUGUUCAAACCAGUCAAACCAUUGUAUGACAUCUCCUUCAAGAUGUAUAACUGCAAUUUUCACCAUAGAUGCGUCCGCGAUUUUUUGGUACCGAAAAUAUCGCUCUGCGCGCUAGAUCCAACCAAUCAAGUCUCUUUCUUCCCAUCUAGGAAAGUCCACCCUCAUGUGUGGAUAGUUGGGGUUGGUUAUAGAGCAUCCCCUCUCUUGGAAGUCAUCUCUUCGGGCUUGGUACGAUUGGGCAAAGCUCUCUCCUUGAUGUGAUUUCUUCGGGCUUAGUGGUCAGCCCAAUCUGAGUUCGGUAAAGAGCAUCCGAAUCUUAUCCUCCAUUCGUGCCUCCAAGGCUUCGAAUUUAGCAUUCAUUGCCUCCUUAGAUACCAUAGUAUAUGCCUCCAAAUCUGUGAUGUUAAGAUCUUUUUUUUGUUGUUGGGUUAAAGGCUUGUAUAGGUUGAGAGAAGUGAUGAUCGAAAGGGUUGGUGGAUUGGUAGAUGUAGGCUGCUGUUUAGGCUUGUUUUGUUGCUAUUUUGGGUGCAGUUUGAGGGUGUGGUUUAGUAGAGUUUUAGGGCUAUAGAUGAAAGUUUUGGAUCUAUGGUAGAUGACAGCAAAGGUUCGAUAGAAAUCAGUGGAAGUUGCUGCAAAUAUGUGUUGUCUUAUAAGAGCAGAAUUGUUGUCGAAGAAACAAUGGUUUCUCGAUGAAAUUUUCGCCAAAAACUUAAGAGCUUUGAGGAGGGAAUUGAUAGAAAUAUCUCAGUUUAUAUGACAGCAAGGAUGUCCAAUUUAAUCAAGAAAAUUUCGACAGUAAUAGCAAGAAAAUUGGUGCAAGUUGUGAUAGAAGAAUUCUCGUCGAAAAAUUUUAGCGACUUACGACAAAAAUUUGUAGCAACACAAAAUCAUUUUUAGAGAUAAAUUCCUCAAUAGAUCAAUCUUAGAUGGAAGCCAAGAUGAUCUAUAAAGCGUAUAAGAAAUUUCAUUCAAAAAAGAUUGCAAAUUGAUAGGUUAAGGCAACAAUAUGCGGCUGAAAGUUUUUGCAGCACAGAUUUUCGAGUGUAGCAGAUUGGAUGUAAAAGAUCAGUAGUUUAUAUUAAGAAUUUUUCGACAAAACUAAAGGGAAAUCCACUGUUAGGAAGUGUCAAAGCUAUCAUAAAAAUUUCGUAGAGAUUUAGACAGAAACAAUGUAGUAUCAAGAUCAAACAAACAGUGCUAUGCGGCUGAAAUUUUACAGUGCAGAUUUUCAAGUACUGUAGAUUAGACGUAAAAGAUCAAUGGUUUAUAUUAAGAAUUUUUUGAUAAAUCUAAAGGAAAAUCUUCUGUUAGGAAGUGUCAAAGAUGUCAUAAAAAUUUCGCAGAAAUUUGGAUAGAAAAAACACAGUAGCGAGAUCAAACAGACGGUGCUAUGCGGUUGGAAUUCUGCAAUGUAUCUUUUGUCGUAGAGAUGAAAACUUUACGAUAAAAAGAUUAUGCAGCAAUAUAGGAACAAAUUUUUUUUUGGAUUUUCGAAUAAGGAUAAUUAAAUUACAGCAGCAGUAAGGUAGGAAACCAGAACCUGUUGCAAUUCACGGGGAGAUCAAAAGAUGAUCUGCAGUGGUGGAGAUGACGAUGGAAUUUGGCGACGAUCUUUUAAGCAAUUGUAGGAAUUGCUUUGGGCGGCUGUGGAGGGUUGAUGGAUGGUUGUGGAAGGGCAGCGAGAUGCCAAGAACGCUGCUCUGAUACCAGGUGUUAGAACCCUUGCAGAUUCUAUAGGGGUUCCUUCCUCCAAGUUGCUGCUCAAAGGCUGCAGAAAAUAUUCAUCUAUUGCUUAUGAAAAAAGGAGGAAUACAUGGCUAUUUAUAGGGUUUCUAAACCCUAACUCCUAAUAGGACUCCUACUUCUAACCAANNNNNNNNNNNNNNNNNNNNNNNNNNNNNNNNNNNNNNNNNNNNNNNNNNNNNNNNNNNNNNNNNNNNNNNNNNNNNNNNNNNNNNNNNNNNNNNNNNNNNNNNNNNNNNNNNNNNNNNNNNNNNNNNNNNNNNNNNNNNNNNNNNNNNNNNNNNNNNNNNNNNNNNNNNNNNNNNNNNNNNNNNNNNNNNNNNNNNNNNNNNNNNNNNNNNNNNNNNNNNNNNNNNNNNNNNNNNNNNNNNNNNNNNNNNNNNNNNNNNNNNNNNNNNNNNNNNNNNNNNNNNNNNNNNNNNNNNNNNNNNNNNNNNNNNNNNNNNNNNNNNNNNNNNNNNNNNNNNNNNNNNNNNNNNNNNNNNNNNNNNNNNNNNNNNNNNNNNNNNNNNNNNNNNNNNNNNNNNNNNNNNNNNNNNNNNNNNNNNNNNNNNNNNNNNNNNNNNNNNNNNNNNNNNNNNNNNNNNNNNNNNNNNNNNNNNNNNNNNNNNNNNNNNNNNNNNNNNNNNNNNNNNNNNNNNNNNNNNNNNNNNNNNNNNNNNNNNNNNNNNNNNNNNNNNNNNNNNNNNNNNNNNNNNNNNNNNNNNNNNNNNNNNNNNNNNNNNNNNNNNNNNNNNNNNNNNNNNNNNNNNNNNNNNNNNNNNNNNNNNNNNNNNNNNNNNNNNNNNNNNNNNNNNNNNNNNNNNNNNNNNNNNNNNNNNNNNNNNNNNNNNNNNNNNNNNNNNNNNNNNNNNNNNNNNNNNNNNNNNNNNNNNNNNNNNNNNNNNNNNNNNNNNNNNNNNNNNNNNNNNNNNNNNNNNNNNNNNNNNNNNNNNNNNNNNNNNNNNNNNNNNNNNNNNNNNNNNNNNNNNNNNNNNNNNNNNNNNNNNNNNNNNNNNNNNNNNNNNNNNNNNNNNNNNNNNNNNNNNNNNNNNNNNNNNNNNNNNNNNNNNNNNNNNNNNNNNNNNNNNNNNNNNNNNNNNNNNNNNNNNNNNNNNNNNNNNNNNNNNNNNNNNNNNNNNNNNNNNNNNNNNNNNNNNNNNNNNNNNNNNNNNNNNNNNNNNNNNNNNNNNNNNNNNNNNNNNNNNNNNNNNNNNNNNNNNNNNNNNNNNNNNNNNNNNNNNNNNNNNNNNNNNNNNNNNNNNNNNNNNNNNNNNNNNNNNNNNNNNNNNNNNNNNNNNNNNNNNNNNNNNNNNNNNNNNNNNNNNNNNNNNNNNNNNNNNNNNNNNNNNNNNNNNNNNNNNNNNNNNNNNNNNNNNNNNNNNNNNNNNNNNNNNNNNNNNNNNNNNNNNNNNNNNNNNNNNNNNNNNNNNNNNNNNNNNNNNNNNNNNNNNNNNNNNNNNNNNNNNNNNNNNNNNNNNNNNNNNNNNNNNNNNNNNNNNNNNNNNNNNNNNNNNNNNNNNNNNNNNNNNNNNNNNNNNNNNNNNNNNNNNNNNNNNUGUCCCUCUCAAUUAGGACUCUCCUAGCUAGAGUCCUAACACGGACCUGAGGAGCGGUACCCGCCAAUUGAGAAACUUGUUCUGGCGCUCGUGCUGACAGCUCGAAAGCUGCGCCCCUACUUUCAAGCCCAUCCUAUCGAGGUAAUCACCGAUCGGUCGCUCCGCCAGGUUUUAUCUAAAUUCGACGUUGCAAGUCGGCUCCUCAAAUGGUCGGUGGAACUUGGCGAGUUCGACAUACAAUUCGUCCCGAGGACCGCCAUCAAAGCCUAAUUCGUAGCCGAUUUCAUAUCGGAACUGGCUCAAAUUGAGGAAGAGGGUCCUGAGCAGCUCGGGGAGUCAUGGGCUCUGCACGUGGACGGAUCGGCUACCUCGAGAGGUGCGGGGCUGGUGCUAUUAGCUCCCGACGGUCGCUCGUUCGAACACUCACUCCACUUCGGGUUCCCGACUACCAACAACGAGGCCGAAUAUGAGGUGCUACUGGCCGGACUCAGGCUGGCCCUCGAGAUGCAUGUGAAGUCCAUUCACGUCCUCACCGAUUCGCAACUGGUGGCCGAGCAACUCGGCGGCGGAUACGAGGCCAGAGAACCUACCAUGGCAAAGUACCUUGCAGAGGUAAAAAGCCUAGCCUCUCACUUCUCUCGCUUUUUGAUAUCCAGGGUGCCGAGGACCCAAAACCAACGAGCUGAUGAGCUGGCCAAACUGGCCUCAAGGUCUGAACUCGAGGUCCAGCCCAAGAUCGAGUUGCUCCCUUCCCGAGCCAUCUCGACCUUGGCAGUGGCUCCGAUUGACGGGCAAACUACGUGGGUACAGGAGAUGUUACGCUUCAAGCGGGACGGGAUCCUCCCCACUAACGAGGCCACGGCUCGUCGCAUGCGCCGUGUGCAAUCUUGGUACUCCGAGGUGAAUGGAUGGCUCUAUAAGAGGUCCUUCUCAUACCCCCUCCUACGGUGCCUCGAACCCGAGGAGGCUCGGUCGGUUCUGGUCGAGGUCCACGAAGGAAUUUGCGGGGAACACAUCGAUGGGCGAACCUUGGCGUACAAAAUCCUCCGCCAGGGGUACUAUUGGCCCACCAUAUCCAGAGACGCGAGACAUUACAUGCUACGGUGUGUCUCGUGCCAAAGGCAUGCCCGCACGCCCCGGCAGCUUGCGGUUCCACUCGCCCCUAUUGACAGUGCGUGGCCAUUCGCGCAAUGGGGGUUGGACCUACUCGGGCCUUUUCCCCCAGCCUCGGGACAGCGACGAUACAUUGUCGUGGGGGUGGACUACUUCACGAAGUGGGUUGAGGCCGAGCCGUUAGCAACGAUCACGGAACACCAAGUGGAAAAAAUUGUGUGGAAAAAUAUCAUAACUCGGUUUGGCCUGCCAAAGACCAUCAUCACCGACAACGGCACCCAGUUCGCCAGCGCGCGAUUCCAGGAGUUCUGUGCGAACUACAAGAUACGAUUGAGGUACAGCUCGGUAGCACACCCCCAGACGAAUGGCCUAGUAGAGGUGACCAACCGUUUCAUCCUAAGCGGGCUGAGAAGAAGGGUGUCUAGGGCCCGAGCGGCUUGGGCGGACGAGCUCCUAAGCAUUUUGUGGUCCUUGUGGACCACCCCCAAAACCGCGACCGGAGAAUCUCCCUACAGCCUCGCGUUCGGAACCGAGGCCGUCCUGCCACCGGAGGUGGUCUUCCCCACGAUUCGAACCGAGAACUAUGACGAGGGGACGUCAUAUCAAGGAUUACUCGCCGGUCUUGACUUCCUCGAGGAACGGCACGCGGAUGUGCAUUUGAAAGACCUCUCCUACAAGAGAGCCGUCGCCAGGAUCUACAACCGCAGGGUACGACCCCGACCGAUCAAAUUAGGUGAUCUAGUCCUACGCAAGGUCGAGGUCAGCGAGCCGACCCGAGCGCGCAGUAAGCUCGCUCCCAAUUGGGAGGGACCCUAUCGGGUUAGCAGCGUCGUCAGGGACGGCACGUAUCGGCUCGCAACCAUGCAAGGUUGCGUUCUGCCGAGAACGUGGAACGUGCAAAACCUUAGGAAGUUUUAUGUAUAGUUGGAGACAAAACGGUCAAAACAGAAACCUGAAACAAAAACCUUUUAUUCCGAAUAAAAGCCAGGUUACAGGGUCGGGCAAAAUACAAGCGUCAACCGACGCCAGACCAAUCCCCUAAGAGACCGUUAUAGCCUUAUAUCCUAUCCUUUGGGGGCUUCAGAGCUGUCGUCGAAGGGGACUUCAUCUGGCAUGUCGACGCUUGCGUCUUCGGGGCAGGAGGCAAAGGGGUUUUCUUCGACCUCCGAACCGGGGUGGCGCGCCUUGAAGCGGGCCAGGGCGACCCGGUACCCGCAUUCGUACGUGAUCUGCCCCGACCGGACCAAGCCGAGCUGAAAGCCCGAGGACUCUUUAUAGUCCUCGAUCAGCUUCUUGUCCCUCUCCGGACGCUGCUGCAUCUCGGCAGCCAGAGCUUCAGAAGCCCUCUUCGCCUCGGCACGCGCCUCCUCCAACUUCUGAGUGAGGGCAACCGCCUCUUUAUUGGCCAAACGAACCUCGGUCCGUGCCGUCCUCAGGAACGCUUGGAGAUCAUUAUUCCUCUCCUCCGCCACUUUUACCUCGGAUUUCAGGCGGGUCCCCUCGGCCUCCAAAUCCGAGGCACGCUGCUCGGCAGCCUGUACCUCGGACUUGAGUCGCGUGACCUCCGCCUCCAGAUCCGAGGCACGCUGCUCGGCUGUCGCGACCGCCUCCGAGGCCGCCUCCGCGUGCACCUCCUCUAUUUGCCUUCGCAGCUUGACGUUACGGUCGAUCAAAACACCGAGUGCCCGACCUGCGUCACGCACGCGAUCCAUCAACGCUGGUGCAUAAUGCUGACGCUGCAAAGAAGUAGAGUCAGGACAACUGUGGCCCAGGUACAAAAAGGAACCCAAUAACAAGGUACUUACCCACAGCAGGGACUUUGCAGACUUGCUCAGCAAAACAUCCGAGGGCAGGACAUACAGUUCCCGAGCCAUAUCGGGAUGGAGCCCCCCUCGGACAAAUAAGGCCGCAGCCUCCCCGUCAGCCCAUACCCGGUCCCCGCGGGUCAGGCCCGUCCAUCGGGCCGCCAACGGGUCGGAGGGUUGGCCCUCCGGAAGUUCGCCCAUGGCCCGAGCUAGGUAAGGUUCGCCCGGUGCUCCCGAAGGGAGGCGACACAAAUCGCGGAUGGACGACUCCUGAGGCGCCUUCCCUGUCGCCUCCCUACUCGGGCCGGCCUCGCCCUGAACGAGGUCCCGUCGCCGGUCGCACCCGACGUGCUUGGUCGCUCCAUCCUCCGGCUGCGCCGACGGCAUGCUCGGUUUUCUUUUGAUACCGGUCUUCGCCUUCUUUUGAGGUCGACCGACCUCAAGUUGAACCGGCGCCUCCCUCGAGCCAACCCUCGGCUCGGCCAAUCGACACGGCCGACGAGGAAGGCCCCCCACGCACGGCGACGAGGUUCACCAUUUCUGCAUGAAAACACCGACCUCGAUCAGAAUACCAAGAACGCGAUUUCUGGAAAGCCCUAACACUACCCACUACUGGCAUACCUCGAGGCAUCGGGCUAAGACCCGCCUCGACCAACCACGCCUCGGUCAUCCUUCGAAUGACUUGGGAGGUCGGGAGUAUCUCCUUUAGACGGCGAAGGUCCCUCCGCUCUUCGUCGUUCAGGGUCGGGGCAGUGUUGUCGAUCGCGCGCGCGGCCCACCGGAGCCCGAAGCUCUAUCCCUCUGGACGAUAGACAUAAAAGAAGUGCUCCUUCCAUCCCUUGUUGCUGGAAGGAGCCCCGCUAACCCAAAAGCCUGGCCGAGCGGACAAAUAGUAGCCCCCCGACCCCUUGGAAAGAUGAAAACAGGAGAGGAAAAGAGAUCGGGUUGGGGUAAUAUGAGCGUAAUGGCACUCCCCCAGGAACGCCACCAAAUAUCGCUAGGAAUUAGGCGCUAUCUGCGACGGAGAAAGACGCCACCACGAGAUGCAGUAACUUAUAACAGGGUGCAGGGGGAGGCGUAAACUCGCCUCAAGGGCGUCUAUGGUUAGGGCAAAACCCUUCGGGAUAGGGUCGUGUGCUCCUCGGCUGCAUGUUGCCCAAGACCGCAAUCUCUGCGCGGCUUGCCCGCCUGAGUUGUGCUCCUCGGUUGCAUGUUGCCCGAGACCGCAACCUCUGCGCGGCUUGCCCGCCUGAGCUGGGCUCCUCGGCUGCAUGUUGCCCGAGACCACGACCUCUGCGCAGCUUGCCCGCCUGAGUUGUGCUCCUCGGCUGCAUGCUGCCCGAGACCGCAACCUCUACGCGGCCUGCCCGCCUGAGUCACCCCCCUCGGUCGCACGCUGUCCGAGACCACCGUGGCGUCGGCCCAGUCCUCAAGUAUCGAACUCCGUGGUCUCCGCGCCCCCAAUGAACGACCGGCAACCGCCCGGUGGGGAUAAUCUCUUAAAACUGAAGCCAUGCCUCGGACCCCCCUCUACGACCGACGCAUAGCUCCUUCGGGGGGGAAUAUGACGAGGGCAAUUAUGGCGAUUGGACUCGGGUGACAUCAGCACCCCCGGAUGACGCCCCACGCCUCAGCCGACUUGACAGCACCUAGCUAAAACAGACUGGAACGUCGGCCGAGGCACAUUAACUUCCUGCACAAGCUCGAUACCUUACGCCACGUCUACACCGAUGUCAUACGCUACCAGGAGUACGAUCCUGCUCCUCUCGAGCAGGCACCUCAGACAGGUAACCUUCCUUAUAAGAACCCUCUCGUUGAGGAGAAAAGGGAGAGGAAAAUUCCUCCACUACCAUUGACUGACUUGAUCGUCGGAGGGGUCGAGCCGAGACCCCUGACCCGACCUGUCUGCAGGUGCGAAGACGGAGCAACCCCGCUAGACGGCCAUCCCAGGAAAGACAACCGUCCCGCCGUCGACCUCGCGUAACGGAUCCAUCCAACUCGACGGACUCCCGGGCCUCGCAGGAAGAUCCCCUCGCAUUCCGACCCGAACCGAGCCGUGCCGACCCCGAGGCCCGGCUUAAAGUUGUUGACACCAACAAAACCCUAUAUUGUCUUACAUUCCUAAAGUAAUUUCAAUAAUGAGUGAUACCAUUUCAGCAAAUGCAACCUCAAAAGCAACUCAAAAUUGGUUAUUUUUAGUAUUUUCCUAAUAAAAAUUAUUGGUUUUGUUUACUGUUCGACAUGUAGCAUCGUAAUAAUAACUAGGUCACUGUGCAUUUAUUUGGUCUGUUUAAAUUGCUUUUUUUCCUAAAAUGCAGAAGACACUUUUCUGGUAUUAUCUUUUAACUACUUAAGCUCUAAAAUUCUAUUUGGAGAGCUUGGGAAAAUGUUUAGAUUGGGGAGCCAGCCUUGCGGGGAGUCAAGUGUGUGUGCCAUGAAAAUGAAAAGCAGUGUAUUUGAAGCAGAUCAGUCUCUUGAUGCUCAUAGCAGGGCCUUGUUGAAUAUGAUCUACAGGACUCAGCAUGGACUGUGUUUUAUGUGAUUUACAUUCUUUUUUUAUGAAUCAAAUUUAGCUUUUUUACUUGUGAUUUGAUCCAUUUAUUUUGAGAACUAUGUGGGAUAGAUUGCAUAUAUGUUUUGUGGAUUAAUUUUUACUUUGUAUUCGGUGUCUUGACCAUGAGGGUGGGCCUUGGUACAACGGUAAGAUUGCUCCUUUGUGAUCUGGGAGAUCAGGAUUUAAGUCAUGAAAAUAAUCUCUUUAAAUAUUUAAACGAAAGAUUGCAUAUAUUGAUCCUCUCUAGAUCCCGCAUUGGCGAGAGCUUCAUGUACAUGCUCUCAGAACUAUAAAAAAUUUCUUGCAGUUAAGGGUGGAAAGAGUUAAAUGAAAAUGAUGUGGCAUUUUCUGCAUCAGUCAAAUAAUCUAACUUGAGGUAUAAAUUGAAACCUUUGUUGGUGGAGAAAAAUUNNNNNNNNNNNNNNNNNNNNUGGAUAAAUUAUGUUUGAGAGAGAAACAUGGGCAUCAGCAAAAGGGAUCAUCAAGUGGUGAUGGAGAUUUUGGACAUUUUCGAGGUCACUUGCUCUUUGAGUUUCUUGAACAGGAUCCACCAUUCAUUCGUGAACCUUUAUCUGAUAAGGUGUUUACAUCUUGUUUACACAAGUAAAACAAAUUCGAUUUUCUGGUCUUGUUUGUGAUGUUUAUUUAAGUAUGUUCCUUCAGAUUUCAGAUCUUGCACGGUGUUUCCCUGCAUUGAAGUCCCUUCGAAGUUGUGAUCUUUUGCCAUCCAGUUGGAUAUCAGUUGCAUGGUGAGAUUCAGAUCGACUGAAAAAGUAUUUGAAAAAUAAAUAUUGAUUUUGUGUAGCUUGCUUGUGUUUAAGGUAUCCUAUAUAUCGAAUUCCUAAUGGCCCUACAUUGAAGGAUCUGGAUGCUUGCUUUUUGACCUUUCAUUCUCUUUCCACACUGAUGAAAGGUAACUAUCAUCUUUUGCACUGUCUUUUAUUCCUCUCCUUACUAGAUGAACAUGUACAAAACAUUAUGCUUGAAAUAAAUAUGGUCUAAUCAAAAUUAUGUUUGUUCUGGCUUGACGAUUUUGUCCUAAAUUGAUGUGGAAUGCUGCUACUUGGCAUUGUUGUUUUGACUUUUAAAUGUUGCAAGACAAAUUAUUAAGCAUACUGAAAAAUUAUUAAGCGUAAAUUUUGGUCGACUUCACCUCUUUGCACAAUUUAUCAAUUGAACAAGCUUAAUUCGGAGAUUAGCUAAUCAUCUACCUAUAAUAAAUGGCUAGCUAGUGAUAAUUUGCAUCUUAGUGAAGCCUCAUUCAGUCUAUGCUCAAGCUUAAUUCAAGGUUAAAUGUUGAACUUGUUUCAGGGUUGUCGGACUUGGGCUCAAGCAUACGUAGAACACGUUAAGAUUUGUAAUUCCAAAAGCACUUUUGUACAUUCUCACCAUGCACAAACCAAUAUUUACGUGCAAAUGACACCACAAAAGUCACUCGAAGUACUUGGCAAAAACUACUGCUGAACGAGAGCUUCCAAGGCAACAGUUGCACCCAAAUCAGAGAGGCCAAAAGCUGCAGCAAACGACGUCCUUCUCUUUGCCCCUCUUCUUGCUCGCUGCUCCGCCUGUGAUCUCAACGGACCUUACCUCGGGCUUCUUCAUCUGCCGCUUGGGCACUAUCAAGGUGAGCACCCCGUUCUCGAUGGAGGCCUUCAUCUCAUCGGCCUUCGCAUCCUCCGGCAGCCGGAACCGCCUGUAGAACCUGCCGCGGCUCCUCUCCGAGCAGUGCCACUCGCACUUCUCCUUGUCAUCGAUCGGAUCCCCGCUUCGCUCGCCGCUUAUGGAGAGGACCCUGCCGUUCUCCACCUCCACCUUCACGUCCCCCUUUCUGACCCCCGGGAGGUCGGCCUUGAAGACAUGCGCCUCCGGGGUCUCCUUCCAGUCCAUGUGGAUGUCGUCUGCGCCGGAGUCAUCCGAGGGAAAGCCACGGAGUGCAUCGAAGAUGUUGCUGUGACGACCCAACAACAUGUUGUGGACGAGAGACAUAUUAGAUGCUGCUGCUGCGUCUGCUUCUUGAAGCUGAGAUAUGUAGCAAACUCCGGUGUCCAAAGUGAGGGUGGGAGUGUAUUUAUCGUUGGCGAUAGAUCAGUCCUUCAUCUGGAAGUGUCUCAUUGGUUGCUUCCAGCGUGGUAUUAUAUCUAUUCCACUAAUAAACGAGACAUUGGUGCUCCGGGCGUUUCGAGAAGCCUCUACGCCUUUCUUGUCAUGUCCACGUAGUUUGGGUGGGACCAGAUAGACCAAGUAAGAUAAUUCUUUGGAUGAAAUCUUGAUCGUCGAAAGAAUUAUUUAUUAAUAUUAUUAUGAUUUGAUUGAAAUCAAUCAAUUCCAAACCAAUUAUUUUAAUUUUAAAUCAAUUAAAUAUAAUAAAAAAAAUAACACAUAAAACAUUGUACCUUAGGAGGUUAAAUCUUUAUGUCUAAAAUCAAUUAACUUGGAUUUGAAUCUUCAAAUAACCAUUUAAUUUGAUUAAAUUUUCAUUGCACUCGUCAUAAUUAUAUGCCUAUUCUUUAAAAUUAUAAUUUUUAUAUUUAUAAUUAAAUUUAAUUAAAAAUAAAUAAAAAAAACAAUUCUAAUCAAAAUCGAAACCGUUCGAACCGAUCCUAAUUUUUUAUAAUUUUAUUUUUAAUCAAUUUUUUUAAAUCAUUACACUCAUCAUAUAUUUUUUAAAAUUUUAAAAUAAAAGUAUUCAUUUUUUUCUAUUUUAAAUCAUUUUUAAUAAUAAAAAAUAAAAAAAAAAUUAACGACUCUGAUCGGAACCAAAACCUUCCGAACCAAUCGAAUCGACGGUUUGGUUCCUAACAAUACGAAUCCGAAUCAAAAAUUAUUCUGAUGUCAAAAUCGAUCGUUCUGGAUCCAUCCACGAUCACGAUUAGGUACAAGGCCAGAUGCAUGCACCGGUGAAGACUUACCGCUGGAUUCAGUAUCGAUUCUGUGGGCAAGACGGGAUAAGAAAAAUUAUUAUUCUGGGUACCUAACGAUUGAUGAUGACACAUCAGGCGGCUUAAAACAAAAUAAAGAAUAGAACAGAGGUGAAAUAUACUGGAAGACUUGAGCACCUUCCAGAAUCCGCCUGCCGACCUUGACCAACGACUUAUUGCCUCGGCAUCGACGCUAUAAAAUACUCAUCGUCCUUAACUCACCAAGAACAAGGAAAAGAAAUCCACAGCUUAGCAACGCAUCCUACGCUACCACCAGAAAUCCUUCAAAGGCAUUUGCAACCAUGCCGAUCGUGAGGCGCAGCAACAUCUUUGAUCCCAUCUCUGUCGACGUUUUCAACACCUUCCCCGGCUUCGCGAGCGAAACCUCCGCCUUCGCCAACACCCGCAUCGACCGGAAGGAGACGCUCGAUGCCCACAUCUUCAAGGCCGACCUCGCCGGGGUGAACAAGGAGGAGGUGGAGAAACGCAGGGUCCUUCAGAUCAGCAGCGUGCGGAACGAGGAGCAGAAGGAGAAGAACGACAAAAGGCACAGCGUGGAGAGGAGGUUCCGGCAGUCGGAGAACGAGCAGGUUCUGGCUCGGCGUACGGUGCGAUGUCAUUCCGGGUUUACCGAGUCCGGUCGUGCCGUACAGAGACUUGAGAUUCGUUUCUCGUGUAAUGUGACGUAUAGCAGUAGCCGUGACGUGACGUGUUCUGAGGGCACAGUUGAGAAGCCCGACGGCAAGUCCCUAAGGAGGAAGGAGGAAGUUAAGGAGCCCGACGGCAAGUCCCUAAGGAGGAAGGAGGAAGUUAAGGAGCCCGACGGCAAGUCCCUAAGGAGGAAGGAGGAAGUUAAGGAGCCCGACGGCAAGUCCCUAAGGAGGAAGGAGGAAGUUAAGGAGCCCGACGGCAAGUCCCUAAGGAGGAAGGAGGAAGUUAAGGAGCCCGACGGCAAGUCCCUAAGGAGGAAGGAGGAAGUUAAGGAGCCCGACGGCAAGUCCCUAAGGAGGAAGGAGGAAGGAGGAAGUUAAGGAGCCCGANNNNNNNNNNNNNNNNNNNNNNNNNNNNNNNNNNNNNNNNNNNNNNNNNNNNNNNNNNNNNNNNNNNNNNNNNNNNNNNNNNNNNNNNNNNNNNNNNNNNNNNNNNNNNNNNNNNNNNNNNNNNNNNNNNNNNNNNNNNNNNNNNNNNNNNNNNNNNNNNNNNNNNNNNNNNNNNNNNNNNNNNNNNNNNNNNNNNNNNNNNNNNNNNNNNNNNNNNNNNNNNNNNNNNNNNNNNNNNNNNNNNNNNNNNNNNNNNNNNNNNNNNNNNNNNNNNNNNNNNNNNNNNNNNNNNNNNNNNNNNNNNNNNNNNNNNNNNNNNNNNNNNNNNNNNNNNNNNNNNNNNNNNNNNNNNNNNNNNNNNNNNNNNNNNNNNNNNNNNNNNNNNNNNNNNNNNNNNNNNNNNNNNNNNNNNNNNNNNNNNNNNNNNNNNNNNNNNNNNNNNNNNNNNNNNNNNNNNNNNNNNNNNNNNNNNNNNNNNNNNNNNGGAAGGAGGAAGGAGGAAGUUAAGAAGCCCGACGUGAAGUCCAUCGAGAUCUGAGCUCUGAUGCAUGCCGGAGAAACCCAUAGCUGAGCUUGCGACCUAUCCAAAUAAGUCUCUGUGGCAGUCGAGUGAGUGUGUCCGUCCUAUGUCUAAGUGUGCUAUUUGGUUCGUGUCUUUCUGUGUCCAAGUAGUCGGUCGACUUUGGGAACUCUGCAUUGCUCUCGCGGUAAUAACGUUUGUCAUGGAAGUAUUUCUUAAUUAAAUACGAGUCGGUCUAGUUCAUCCGUUUCAUAUGUUUCAACUUCGGGAACUCUGCCUUGCUCUCGCAGUGAUGACGUUAGUAAUGGAAGUAUUCCUUAAAUAUUAGUCGUUUCAUAUGUUUCGACAUGAAGAGAAGUAGUAACCAAAAUGAACAGAUAAGAAUGACCAACUGGCUAACAAAAACAACAUCAUCAUCAUCAUUCUGCAUACUUAUCUUCUUCCAUUGUGCGUAAGACGUGACGCACCGCACAAUCCACGAGAACGUGACCCCGCAAGCUUAUCUUCUUCCAUUGUGGGUAAGACGAGACGCACCGCCCGUUUUCCUCUGUCCGUUUAUCAUAUAUUCAAAGGGCCGUUGCGACGUGCGAGACCCUCUCUCUUGACCCUCUGUUUCCGCGAUCAUCGGCGAAACUUCGCAACCCUCUCUUGACCCUCUCUUUCCGUAUUCAAAGGGCCGUUGCGAAGUGCGGGACCCUCUCUCUUGACCCUCUCUUUCCGCGAUCAUCGGCGAAACUUCGCAACCCUCUCUUAACCCUCUCUUUCCGCGAUCAUCGGCGAAUUUUUCUCGAUCUACUGCUUGCU